GCUAGCUUAGUGAAAGUAACAAGAUACUGAAAAUGUGAGUUAUAUGCAUACCAUGGCCUUUCCCAACCAUCCGCAGUUGAGCGACAUAUUCAGCUAUCUUCUUAAUGGAUUCAACCUGAUGAAAAAAAAGUUGUAUUAAUCACAAAAUGAGGCAAAAAGUACUACAAGUUUAACAAAGAAUGUUACCAAUUACGAUAUGAUACUUCUUCUCCCUGUUAAAUUUAUAGAUUUUGUCUCAGUUUUGGACAGAACAAAUGUGUAACAGGUUGAAGACAGCAGGAAAAAGGUAAAAUGUGGCAUCCACAUCUUUUUCUGGACAUCAAUGAAUAAUUAUUCAAACUGUUCUUCAUCAGAAUUAUUGGCAAUUCAUAAAACUCAAUGCUUUUAGACGCGUAAUCUGAAAAUCUUAAUUUGUACCUCACAGGAUUAGAUCAUACAAGAGUUCAAAGUCUUGUGUCAAAUCCAGGGGAAAGAAAUAAGAUUACUUUCGAGCUCACCUGUUCGGUUAAAAAUUCGCUCUCGACGAAAUCUGCCAUUUGUGGAUCAUUGUUCUCGUCUGCCACCUAAUAUUUAUCAAGAACAUAGCAUAGCUCAUGAGCACAAUUGUAAAAACCAUUGACAAUUCCGGUUAUUCAUUGCAAGAAAGUGCUUGCUAUUUCCUAUUUACAAAAGGAAAAACUAGGAAACAUCACCUUGUGCAAGCUCAGCAGUUUCUCAUUUGUCAACUUCUCCAAAGACAAUGCUAAUUCCAUUGCUGGAUCAAAGGAUCAAAGACAGCCCAAGUUAAUUAUCUCAAAAGAACUGUAAUCACCAUCCAUUACAGAAGCAUGCCUUGACACCUCUAUAUAACGGAAAGCAUAACAAAGAUCCCAGAAGUAAUAGAAAUGACAAACAAGAUUAUACUCUUACAAUGUCAUUUGUCACUACAUUAAAACUUGGAUGGAAUUGUAGGCAAGAUCCAAAAAAAAAAAAGUAAUAGCAAUUUCUAACAAUGAACAUGAGUCUAGACACACACCAUAUAAUGCAUCUCCUUUCUCAACAUGCUCAAAUUCAGAAGGGGAUGUCAGUAUAGAGUGAAGUACUACUUUCCCUCCUCGUAUAUUCUGAUUACAUAUAAAUGGAGAAUGAUUAGACAAAAUAAUAAAAAAUACCCAAAAUGAAAGAGAUAAACCAAGAUAUUUUAAUCAGGGAAUAUUUGAGUUUCAAAGUGAGUGGUACCUGAUAUUCCAUGAGCUUUUCAGCAUGUUCUCUUUCUUCUUCACUUGACUCCUUGAAGAAUCUGGUUACAAGUCACAACAUGACCAUACCAUACCUCAGUUCAUAUAAUUCAAAACUUAAAAUUAAAAGAAAGAAAAGAAAAUACUCAAGAAUAAACGUAUGGAUUUUGUGUGGUUACUUGGCUAGGCCUUUGAGAGCAAUGUUAUCCCUGUCAAAAUAGGCAAACAUGGCAUGGUAUACAUAGGAAGCUGUGUACUCCACACUGUUAACACAGAAAAAAAAACACAUCAAUAACACUAAUCUGCAAUGAGUCCACAAGAUUCUAUCUUUUAUGAAAAAAUGGAAAGAGAAAAGUUAUCACUGACUUGAUCUGCUCAUUAAUGGCAGCUUCACACUCAUCCACAAAGUACUGACGAGCAAAAGAAACUUGAGGAGAAUUAGGUACAACAAAGACCUCCUUCUUCACCUCUUCAAAUGGCUGGAAAACAACACCAGUAAGAGUUUCUCCAGUGGCAGAAACUACAAGACUGGUGUUUCUUUUCUUUCUUGAAGCCGAAGGAAAGGCUGAAACAGAAGAACAAGAAAUGCCAUGCCCAUCACUUGUAGGACUAGUGAUUAGGACACGAGCAGUAUCCCCUUGCUUUGCUGCAAGAGAAAAGGCUGGAACAGGGCUCAAAAACGUUGCUGCCAUAGCCUUAAUAAGAGAAAAACAGAGAUCCGUUUCAGAAUUCAGAGAGGUUUUUUGCAAUGGAAAUGGAGAUUGGUGGCUGCUGAAGUUGGAGUUGCAGAGGAUAGUUAAAUACAGAGAGGAGGGUGUUCCAGGCUGGAAGGGCUUUUUUUAUACCGUUGGAUUAAGUUGGACAUGGAGGGUUUAGAUAUAGCCACGUGUUUAGGGCGUGUGGAAGGCUCGUGGUCUAUCCAGUGUGAAUGGAAUCUAACCUAAUAAUUCGUUCCACGCUGCCAACUUACAAUCCUCAAAAAGUUAUCUUUUCUUCGCACUCGCUCGACUGUAUUAUUUGAUUCUACUCGCGGUCUGAGAUCGAGAAUGGUAUGAAUUUUGACUUUCCCUCUAGAUUUGAAAACUCGAGUAGUCUCGUGUCCUAACAAGAGAGGUCUGAGAGAGUAGGUUAUUGUUCUCGCACACUGCCCAGAAACUUUGAAUUUGGACGUGUUUCGCUGCCUUUAGUGCCGGCAACUCUUUUUCGGAGAAAUCCCCCAAUUUAGUUCCUAUGUUUGUGUCAAUGCUUCAAACAAGCCCCUGAAAAAAUCAUUUGAUCAAUUUCACCCUUAAUCGUCACAUUUGUCAAUUCACCGAAUUGGAAAACAUUCCACCGAAUUGGAAACAUGGAUUCGAAGGCGAACACAGCGUACACAUAUAACGUGGGCUGGGUAAAGAAACUUUUUUUAACAUAACAUAUACAAUGGCUAAAUUUGUCCACACAGACAGAAGUAAAAAACUCCCGUUGGAUAUAUUUUUCAAAAAGUAAUAACUAAAUUUGCCAGUGGAGAUAAUAAGAUAUUUUUGCUCCUGUUUUUUUUCACUAGUGAAAUAAUUAAAAUAUCAUUAAAGCCAAAAAAAAAUUAAACGGAAAUUCAAGGGUUGUUUGGAUUUUUUAUUUACAAACUUAAUUAUCUUUGAUUUCAAAUUUUCUUAAGCUUAUUUAGGGUUUCUUUGAUCUUUUCAUUAUUUAUUUUUUUUUUGCAAUUUUGCAGUUGGACUAGUAUCAAUUUGAUAUUUCAGUAGAGAUAAAAUAUUAUUUAAUAUUAAAAGACAGUGUUUGUACUUUUUAAACAACGUAGGCAAAGUCGUGCAAUAACCAAAUAUAUGCUUUCACUAUAGCGUUUCAAUCUCCACGGCAGCCCCUCUAUCAUUGGGCAACACUUGUGACCAAAUUCUCUCUAGUUUUGCGCCAAUAGUCUUUUUUUUCGUUUUUUUUUCUCUUUCCCUCCUUAAUUUCCAUGCAUGUCCCUACAAAGUUUUAAAACAACCCUUUGAUUUUUAUUACUAUGUGUUUUAUUCUAAAUAAUUCAUGGAAUUUGAAUUCUCUUUCAAUUUCAUCCCUUUUUUAUUUUUUUUAUUUGUCAGAUUUGAUCUCUAUUAUUUUCAUUGUUUUUUUUUAUCAUUUUCUUGAUUGAAUUUGUUUGCAUUAUUGAAGCUUUUUUUUUUGUUUUUUUUAUUGAUAAUUUUUUUUAUUUCAUCACUUAGUAUUUUAUUGACCAAAAAUUUGGCCUCAUGAUUUCUUCAUGUUUGCCUUUUAUGGGAUAAUUAUGACCUCAUGACCCAGGUUACAAGUCUGAAAGGUUAGCCUGAGUUGACCAAUGUUUUUUUAGAUCAUUUUUUAUCCAAAAAAAAAAGUUUUAUUUCAUCCUUUUAUAGGGUUAUCUCAAUCUCUUGUAUCGAGUCGUGAGUUUCGCAGCAUAACCCAAGUUGACUCGAGUCAAGUUUGUUUUGUUUGAUUUAUCCGUUGUUGUCUAGGGCCAGGUUUGUUUUAUUUGAGAUGGUUUUAUAUAACCUCAUUGCCAUAUAGAGUGCAGAGAACUAACAAACAACCUUAAUAGGCACAUAUAAUGAGAAAUGAGGUUUUUUAUUUGUAUGUUCAAAUAAAGAUACUUCUUUCUUCUGUCAAGGUAUGCACAAAGUUUAUUUCAUCAUUAUAAUCUAUAUGUUAAUCAGCUACACUCAAAUGAGUCAGCCAUCUUGGUUACUUUCUAGUAGAACUACAUGAGGCAACAUGAGGAAGAACCAUCUCUAAUGGUGUUCAGAUAUUCUUACAAGCUAUCCAAUUAUAGAUGAAGUUUUAAUAAACUAUCCAGUAGAAUCGCAUAAAGAGAUAAGUGCGAUGUUGGAAGAGUUUCAAGAUAGUUGUCUUUCUAAACACCCUAAUUUCAUGCCCUCUAUGUUUGACAUCCAACAUGUCAUAGAUUUUGAACAGCCUCUUGACCUUCUUGAUUCCUUGUCCUCUAUGCCCAACAUCCAACAUAUCAUAGAUUUUGAGUAGUCUAGCUUCAUGAAUCCUUACCUCUUAUUUGUAAUAAAGAAGAUAGGAUAAUUCUAAUUUACUAGGUUAUGUUCGAUCUACAUCAAAUCAAGUUUUGAAUGGUGUUUGUUUCAUUCUACACCCUCAUUCAUAUAAUGUUUAUGAUCAUAAACCUAAAAUGCAUAUAGAUCUUCUUCUUGUGUCUGCUCGCGCUCAAAUGUCUAAGUUAGCUGAGGUUUUUACAUAUAGAGUUCCUGAUUUGAAUGUUGAGAUUAUAAAAUGAAUUCCAACAAAUAAUGAACAAUACAAACUUCAAGCUAAUUUAUAUAAGUAUCAUGAUGCAUUUAAUAUUGGAGAUUAUUUCAUAAUACAGAUUAGACUUGAACAAUAUCCUUCGGAAACCAAUCAAAAAUUACAUGUUACUAGUUCUAAAACAUCUAAAAUGUUGCAAAUGGUUGAGUCAAAUAUUUAUGUCAUUAACCUACCAUCAAACUUUAAUAUUGGCUCUACUUCUAAUAUAAAGAACUUGGUUAUAUAUAAAUGACAACAACAUAUUCAUGAUAAUCCUUUUAAAACCUCAACUCCAUCACCUUUUUCAUUUGCACAGAAAAGAACAUAUUAAUGUUAUUUUGGAUAUACAAGUUAUUUUUACUAGAGAUGAUGAGAUUUAGCAUAUCCAAUUUUGUGAGCGAGAUGACAUGCUUGAAACUAUAAUUUGAUUACUAGAAAAACAUCAUAAUAGCUUGAUCUUUAAAAGCAUUAUUGAAGUUAAUCUUGAACUCCACUCAACGAGAUCAAGUUCUUCCCAACUUCAUAGAGUUGAUGAAGACUCUUCACUUCCAGUAUGAGUGUAGUUUAAGAUGACAAUCCUAUUUUUUUAUUUAUUAAGCUUGAUUUAAUUAUUGUUAAAUAUUUUAUUUAGGAAACUAUACAAGCCCAAUUGCAGUUGUGUAGGGUUUGCUCUGUGUUUCUUUUUGCUUUGUGGGCAGCUUCUUGUUGAAUUAAAGAAAAAUUGCAGAGUUGCAAUUCCCCCCUCUUCCCUAGCUUUUCUCGGUUGAGGAGAAAUUCUUUUUUCAGAGACUCUAAGCACCUUGCAGAAAGCCUUUUGUACAGAUAACAGGUCACCAGAAUGUUUUUCAGUGGCAAUUUCAAUGAGUCUUGCCACUCGUUGUACAGAUUCAGGCCACCAGAAUGCUCUGCGGAGAGGCAAUUGAACUAUAAGUUUUGCCUAGGUCAGGUCCGGAUGCUGGCCAUCCAUACGAAUCACGAAUGCAAGUUGCGCAGCCCAUCAUGCAUGAUUUGUACCGAUAGUUAGAAUCCGUGGUUACAUGCAGCUGCAGUAGUCUGUAGCAAACCUCUUACAAUAUGUAGCUGUGUGAGCGGCACGAGUGGCAGGUUUGUGAACUGUAACAUCUGCCUUGACUGUUCGAAGAAUUUUUUAUUCUUCUUUCAUUACCACUAUCGUGUCAAUGCUGCCAGAUGAUAAGCUUUUAGCUUAGACAAUGACAGCUCAUUUUUCUAAAACAGAAACAUUCAACUCAAAAUUUAUAGAAUGUCGAAUGUGCAAACAGAUAAUUCACAUACCCUAUAGCCUCUCGCACCCCCUGUUUUGGAAAAUAUCUCCAUACGCAAGGCUCCAAGCCUAAUUUCAGCAUAUGAUACGCCAUGACUAGUAUCUUAGCUCAAGGGCUACAACUCCAUAUUACAAUAAACGAGCAAUUAUUGGAUUUACCAUUCUGAAAGCGACAUUUUUAGUUUUGACGACAGCAAUUCCUUCUCAAACCUUUGCUUCAUCAAGAAAGGAAUACAUAAAAGGUAAGGGUGGCUACGAUUAAUCAAUCAUAGAACAAAGAAAAUUCACGGAUCACAUCUAUGACCAAAGGAAGCACAUGAAAUUUAAUUCAACCCGUCAUUGUAAUUACAGUAGAUGAAGGCAAGGGGGGUCUAGCAGCAAUGACAAAGGAGUAACAGCUCAUAAAAGUAUAAUACCUUAGAAGUAUUAUGACCACUUCAGAACUUAUCUAUGCCCACUCCAUCUCGAAGAACCUCAUAAGCCCCUCUAUCUCUGGUUUUCUUCAUCCCAGCUGUGAAGUUGAGCUUUGAUCCAGUAGAUGCAAUACAGGUCACUUUAACCCAAAUCAUCACUUUAGUCUUCAUCCCCUCUAUAUCAGCUAUUUUUCCUUUCUCCAAAUACCCAGUUACGGUGGUCAAAAAGCGCACAACAGAUGAGUCCUUGUAGCCGACUUCACAGAUUGAGGGAAUAAAGACAGUAAGCUUUCUCGUCUCUUCAUUGAACUCAUAGUUGGUGGCAUCACGAGGGAAGAUUCCUAUUGGCAAGUCAUACUCCUUAAGCAAAUCUGGUAACGGCUUUUGCAUUUUUCCUAUAUAAAUAGUGGCAUAAUGAUCAAAGUAGCAGAUAAAGAUGCAUUUAAGAGUUCUAAGUAGGAGAUUACUGCAAAACAAGAAGUUUCAACAAAAGGGAUCUUCAGAAUAUCAUAAUUUAGAUAACAAUGGCUCUGCAUGAUGAUGGGCUCUAGAUUGGAAACUUCCUGGACAUCUACUCAAUUUAAUCAACUGACUCAUUCCGAAUUCCAGCAGAUUAAAGCAACAUCACAGCAGAAUUUUAACUUAGCCUUCAAUCAGUAGCAAAUAAUUCAUAUUAAACAGAACAGUCGCAAAUUUACUUACAUUCAAGUUAUAGAUGUGUCAUUUUGAUGAGCUUCUAACUUCUAGUCAAGCUAUUAAAUAUGAGUUUUUCUCAUUGCAUUAAUUGGCCUCCAACUUCAAGGUCCCAAAUAGUUAGAAAACUUCAGAACUUCCCAAAAGGAAAUUGGAUUUAAAUCUAUGGGAACAUUUUUGACACGGGAAUCUUGAGAGAAACUUGGAGCUAUAGUGCAUUUGUUUGAGCACAAAUGCAUUACAGAACUGCAGAAUCAUCAGGAAUGUGGGAAAGAAAUAUAAGAAACAAAACAAACUAACUACAAAACACCAUGUGGCAAAACAGGAAAAAUAAAGCAAAUGAACAAGUCAACAAACCUUUGAGUUUGUUUACCAACCAUUUGGUUCCACCUUCAAUGCUCGUUGACAAUGACUGGUUAAGAAGAGAAGGAUAUCAGCACGCAAACUGUGUUAGUAACUGAGGUAAUGACAGCAGAGUUCAGAGGAAAGCAGAACGCACAAAAAGCAAUAAGCUCAUAUGAAUCAAUGAUUGUUAUGAAGGAUAAACUUAAUUAGAUUACGGUCCCACCUAGGAGUAAAAAGAAAAAUCAUUUCCAGUAUAUCUAACUAAAACCUGAUAAAAACCCAUAUUCCAUUUCAUUGUGCAAAAUAUUAUAAACAUACAAGAUCAUUUAACACUUCAUAAAGUCCAACUUCUACUCAUGAACUCUUUGAGAAUCGCAAUGAUACAAGUCAUGCUGUCAAUUGCUAAGUAAAAAUGUGAUAAGAUUAGACAUAUUUGCCUAGACUAGUUCUUCGAUCUUUAAUUCAGCAACAUCAUUGAGAAUCCCACAUGCUCGAUCAUUCCUUUAGCUGCUAAUCCAAACAUUAAGAGCAAUUAUCAGUAAUCUCAAGCAUUAUAAAAACAGGAACUAAACCAACUCAGCCAUCUUCAAUUUCCAUCAAAAGCUACCAUUCUUAAUCUGCUCUAGUAAAAAACCAAAACCCUUUAUUUCUUCUAUUAAUAUAUUUCCAAACAAACCCUAAAUUCUUUUUUUAUGUUUCUGAUAGUUAAUUGCAACAAUCAUUAUCUUAAUUCCAUUUUCACACCUGGAAAUUAUAAUUAAUCUUCAAAUCAUAACCUAAUCAACAAAGGAAGCAACUUGGUCGAACUUGUUAAUCAUCAAAAUGAAUUUAAGAAAACAAGAGGGAAAAACGUAUACGUUGAUGUCGUCGCCUACAGAAUUGAACUCCUUGCUAGCUUUCUGACCGAGCCAAUAAGAGCCAACCUUGUUCAAUACCGCAUCCAUUUGUGCUUUAUCUGUUCUUAGGAUCUCACACUGUUUUACGAUAUCUAUUAGAGACCGAAGCCAAGACUUCUCCCUCUCUCUCUCUCUCUCUGAAAAGCGGGAAUUUUUCUAGAGAGAGCAGGAAUUAAAGAGAGAGACGUGCAGUUAUCGUUGUUGCGAAGUAAUCUAUUAUCUUUUAGCCGCUAAGAGUUUGCCACGUCAACAUCGUGCCAUUCUUCCAACUGCCUGGUUUUGUCAAAGUAUUUUACCACAUCGCCCUUUUGAUUUAGGUUGAUUGAUUUUACUGUUUAACCGUGCUUUUUUAAAAAAUAAUUUUUAUUUAAAUUAAUUUUUUAUAUAUUUUUGAAUUAUUUUUAUAUGUAAAUAUUAAAAAUAUAUUUUUAAAUUAAAAGUAAUUCUCAAUGUUGCCUUAUUAAAAAAGAAAAAUUUGAAUGGAUCAAAACGGUACAAGGUGAAUUACCACACAAUAAUUGUAAAACCGCCAUAAAGUAGCCAUUUGCCUAAGUCUUACUUAUUGAUUCCUUCAACUUAAUAUCUGAUCAUAUAGAAAAACUAAAAACAAUAAAUUAAACUCAAUUUAAAAUAAAUUCAGUUCGAAUCUAAAAAAGAUCUAGAUUUAUAGAAAUUGUAGGUGUAAUUAUGAUAUCAUGGAGUUAAUAUAAAAAAAACAAAUCACAAAAUUAAACUUAAUAAAUAAUUGUACCAUGCUUUAAAAAAAUAUUGUUUUUAAUCUUUUUAAAAUAUCAACAACCAAACAUAGAUCGAGAAAAAAGCCAAAUAAAUCUAAAAUUCUAAAUCAUACAAGGAAGAGAUUGUUUGUAAAGAAAAAUUUGCAAAUGCAAUGAAAGAGGAAUAAAAAAGCGAAUUUUCACAAAAGGAAAUGCAGCAUUCAUAUAAUGGAAAGGUUGGAUAACAUUAAAAAAAAAAAAAAGAUGUUUUCCAAACCAAAGAAUAAAAAUAGAAGAUUGGGCACUUGAGGUCGUGUGCUAGCAGGGAAAAGAAUUUGUUUUCUUUUUCUGUACUUGGAUUCGAUCCUCUUUGUACAUACAUAUUAUCCUUAUGGUGUCUUACCUGUUCAUUGGACUUGCAGGGUGUUCAGUGAGCUCGAUGAUUAGUCGUAGUGCGUAUAAACUGACCUAAAUAUCUCGGAUUAUAAAAAAAAAAAAAGGAUUGGAAAACACACUUUUUCAAUUUUCCAUAUAGAGAAUUUUAAAUAUGAACAAGAAACUCUCUUUUAUGUUUUUCUUUUCUCUUUUUUUUUUUUCUAAAAACAAAUUUGGAGUUUAUCUCCAAUACUAAUUACCAGCCCCUUAGUAUCUAUCCCAAAUUUAUUUUAUAAUUUAUCAAUUUCUUUCGUAGAUCUUCUUAAAAAACAAUAAUUAUAUUUUGUUUUCAACUUUAACUAUAAGUUAUAUUCAAUAAAAGCAUAGUUAUAUGACAUCAUCUAGGAAUUGAUAUGACUCGAAGUUUGGGUUGCUCGAGUGUUAAGAGGAUUGAUUUAAGUUUACCCAACAUUUGACUUUUUUUAGAAUAAACCUACCCUAGGCAAAGGUUAUCGAGAUGAUCCGUCGAGCAUGACUAGGGAUAAAAGUAUAGUUACUAAAGCCAAGCCGGUAAUCCACCAGCAAGGCUAGGUUUUAUAACCAGGGAUAAAAGAAUGGUUAUCAACGUUGGCCUAGUGAUGUGUCGACUAGGGGUCUAAUUUGAGUCGGGUUUGCUUUUAUGUUGCCUAGAAAAUUCACCUAGUCACAAUUAAGAUGAGAUUUGACCAAAAAAAUUUUGUUUAAAAUAAAAAAGUUUUAGUUUCUUAAGAAAAAUUAUUCAAAACAACUUUAUCGUAUUAAAAAAAAUAAUCUUAAGUAAACUUAUGACACACAUGAAUUGACUUGCUUAAUCUGCUACCCAAAUUUUAAAUUGAAUCAGAUUUUAAAAAUGUUCAUACAAAUCAAUGAGUUUGAGAACAAGAUUUGAUGGCAUGAAUUGCAUGAAAAAAAUAGGUUAACUAAACAUGUAAAUUUUAAGUUAAAUUGAAUUGACAUAUCUAUAAAACUAGUGAUAUUUGAUAAUAUAAAUUUAUAUUCUUAAAACAUGUAAAUUAUUCAAGUAUGAAACAAAAUACGAGGCACAUGAAUUCUUGUUUUAAUUUUUUUCAAAUCCAAAUUUGUGAGGUACUUCUUGAAAUUCAAAAGGAUGUAAGCUUUAAUUACCCAUAUUGAAAAUAUACCCAUAUAGAAAAAACUACUACCCUAAAAGGUAGAAAAAGGCCUCGCAUCUUCUGCUUCUGUCUAGUUACUCUCCAUUCCUAGCUAUAUCAAGGUUUAUGCUUUGGACAUAGAUAAUAUAUACUCGAAGAUGUGACAAAAAGAAAGGAAGCUACUUGGAAUUUAUAAUUUUCUCAUCGAUAAUUCUAUCCUGUACGUACCUAGAAAUACUUUUGAUAUUAAAAAUCAUCAGAAGUUCUUAAUUUCAUAUACAAGCUGGUUAGGGCUAGGUUGCCUCUUGCUAACCCAUGUUGAAAGGCAUGCAUGAAGGUUAGAUUCCAUUUAAGAGAAAUGUUGAUUUAUGAAGUUUUUUAUUAUUAAUUAUUAAUGUAAGUAUCUAGUUAAUUUACGUGUAUCUUAAUUAAUUUUAUAAGUCCUUAAACUAAUAAUUAUAUAAGUUUCUAGUAGUAAAUUUGAAUUUAUAAUUAAUAAAAAACAAAUUUAAAACAAUUUUUCUAACUCAAGUAAGAGCAUCCAUUAUAAAAUUAAGCUGCCGGGGCCCCUUCACUUUUGCCUGUCCUACAUCAAAUUUCAUUUGUGACAAACGGCAUAUAAUAUCAGUCACAUGCCUUUCCCCCCCUACCUUUUCAAUAAUGGAUAUUCACACAUAUGAUUAAAAGUUGAAAUGAUAAAUUAAUGUUUGAACCUAUUUGAUAUUUACUGUGUUAUUAUUCGAUGUUGUGCUAAUACACGCAUUGUAUCAAGAUUUAACAUUAAACAUUACAAGACUUGUCCCCGUUCCCAAAUAGAAGUCCAAUGAGCUAAGUUUAACGUGAGCAUGUCCCACUUCAUAUCAUUGGAAAUUUUGUGUGUUUUUGUUUAUGAAAAAUCAAAUAUAGUACAACUACUUGUAAGCUUAUUAAAAAAUGUCUAAAUUAAUUAUUAGUAGAUAACCCAGUGCUAAUAGUUUGGAACCAAGGAGUUUGCUCACCAUGUGGUCUUAAGUUCGAGCCAUGUGGUUGCUAAUAUGAUGGUCACUGGAAGCUUACAUGGUCGUUAACUUCAAGACCCGUGGGAUUAGUUGAGGUACACGCAAGCUGACCCGGACACCCACGUUAAUAAAAAAAUAUCUAAAUUCCCCAUGUGGUCUUAAGUUCGAGCCCUGUGGUUGCUAAUAUGAUGGUCACUGGAGGCUUACAUGACCGUUAACUUCAGGACCCGUGGGAUUAGUUGAGGUACACGCAAGCUGACCCGAACACCCACGUUAAUAAAAAAAUAUAUCUAAAUUAAUGUUAUCAAAACUUGAAAAAAAAAAUUAUAAGCACUAUAUCUCAUCUCAAUCUUAUUAUAUUUGUGUAAACAUUUAUCCAAAUCUACAAAAACAUGUGUUAUAGUGCAGUGCUGAAUUAGAUAAAAAUAAUUGAUAUUGAAAUAUAACAAAAAUAAAAACUUACGCUUUUAUUUCAUGACAUCCUAUGGACUCAUGGUCUCUAUCCUGGUGUGGGCUAUAGUUUGUAUGGACCUUGUCUCGUGUCUCAUGCUUGUGUCGAGACCAUAUGAAGGACAAAUCAUAUCAUGGGCCUGAUCAUGGACCCCAAACUGGGCCUACGUUUGGGUUGAACAAUAGUAUGCAUGGGAUGGCCCAAACAUUAAGGGUGCUGGAACAUGGACCCGUCAAGUGUUAUAAAAAGUAGUUGGUGGGUGGGGCCCAUGAUUUAAAACACAAAGAUUGUCUUGUAAAAUAUUUUUUUAUCUCUUGAAAAUCGUAAGUUGUUUUUCAUGUUAGGAAUAAAAAGAGGUGGUUGUAAUCUAAUGCAGAGAAUAAGCACGUGGGUUAUUCUCCAUAAGGAAACUAUUCAUUCUCUAGGAAAGAACCAACCAUGCUAUUCUACUGCAGUCAUUGUCAUUCUGCAGUACGUAGUCCUAGUUAUUACAGAGUUGUUUUAGUUAAUGGAAUUGUGAUUCCUAUUUUCUUGUAAUAUUUACUUUAUUAUUUCCAAGCAUUGUAAGAAAUAAUUCAGUUGAAUAUUAAAUGUAAUUAAACAUUUUCUUUGCUAAUUCUCGACAGAUUAGCUUGCUUCUUGUUUAUGUUCUAGAACUAUUUUAUUGUUUUAAACUCUUUUUUCCCUUUUAUCCUACCAUGUUUCAUCAACUAAAUCUUUUUAUAAUUAUCAAAUAUAUAUAUAUAUACAUAUAUAUUCUUUUUUGUUAAUCACAUGUUGAAAUAUAAACGAUAAUGACGUGCAUGCAUAUACAUGACUGUACGUAGAGACUGUAGAAUACCUGGGAAAUUGAAUUUGACGGAUAAAUAAUUUUACAUUAAGUUGGUAUUUACAUAAAUGAAUUAAUAUAAUUAAAACCAUAAAAUGUUAAAUAAAUAACAUAAAUUAAUAAAUAAAAAAAGGAUAUUAGUUAUUUAGAAAAAAAAAUAAAGGAAAUACAUUUCUCAAGGUGUAGUAACUGCCAUCGUCAUGACCGCGUUGACCAUGUUAUAAUAUUUUUCUAAAAACCAUAUUUUAUUGAAGCAUCUUGUAUUAUCUUUAAAAUAACCUCUGCUAUUUUUAUUUUUCCAUAGGAAGGUUUGGGGUUUACAAAAAAAAAAAAAAAACAACAAAAAAUGCUUAUCAAGACAAAGCUCAAUAAGAUUGAAGAAAUUAGGUUAUAGGUUUUCAAAUAUAAAGGUCUGAGUUAUAACUGAAUUUAAAAUAUAGGGACUAAAUAAAAAUAAUUUGCUCACAAUUAGCAGCGACUCCUCGUCGACAUUUAACAAAAUCACCGGUUAUGUGGUCCAUUUAUACCGAGCAUCGAUCAUCGUACCUUCUCUUCAAUGAUGCUAUGUAAUGUCAUAGUAUGGUUAAUUUAUUCUCCUUUUUUUUUGUUUGUUUCCGGAAGAAAUUAACUGAAUCAUGCACGCAUUCUCCUUUCAAUAUAUAGUGCUGGAUACAAUGUAUCCAAUGCCAAACAUAUAAUAAAUAAAUAUAUACAUACCAAUAAAUUAUAUAUUUAAUUUAUUGAUAUUACGGACACCACUUGCGUAAACUUUUUGUAUGAUUCUCUGAGGAAAUAUUUCAUAAUAUAUAUUGCUUCUCCAGGCGGAAAUGAAAUGAAAAACAGUUUGAAGGCACGCCCAAAUUAAUCUAAUAGUUUUCAUUGGAGCUUACAUCCCCAUAAUUAAUUAAUCGUGUCAAACAAUGAAUAAAUAUGUUUAGGCAGUGGACUUCUCAGGUUGUUUAUUGAUUAGAAUAUAAUUAAUUUUGAUUAUAACAAACUAGCUAGCUAGGCAUUGAAGUGGUCUCAUCGUUAUAUAUACAACAACAACUAGCCAGCAACCACCAUAGUUGCAGGUGUUUUAUAAAUACCAAGUGGAAAGAAGCCGGUGAGAUUAGGGAAUAUCUAGAGCGGAAUAAGAUUAAAUAACCCUAGAAGAAACAAAUCUUGAUACUUGUUCGGAAAGAAAAAUAAGAGAAAAGAAAAGAAAAAACAAGUGGGCUAAAGUUAAUUUGGAAGAAAGUGAAGUGGGGAGAUAAUUAAGAAGGUUCAAAUUAAUUAAUCUCUGAUAAUCACCCAUGAUCAGGCAUUGAACAAAGGCAUUAAUUAAUGCCACUAUGCUAAUCCCACGACCCAGAUAUUCAUGGGUCCCAGACCACUAGCAUGCAUGCAUGGCAUGGUAGCUGAGGAUCAUGUGCUAAAGGGGUCCAACUUGUUCUUGUUUACCAGCAGAAAAAGGCGUCCAAGUUUGGUUCUUUCAGAGUUUGAAAACAAGACACAAGAUAGAUAGGGUCACGUUAAAGCAUCAUAAAGUGAUAAAAGAAACGGUAAAACAUCUUUGGCGGGGCAUGGAAUAGUAAGCGUAGCUGGGAAGCUAGCAUGUUAGGGUUUGGAAUUCGGUUGUUUUUUAAAAUAUAUUUAAAAAAUAUUUUUUUAUUUUUUUUAAAAUAUUUUUAUAUGAAACAUCAAAAUAAUCUAAAGGUAUUAAAAAAUAUUAAUUUAAAAAAAAUACUUUAAAAACAAAAAAAAAAACCUUGAAUAAUAUAAACAGUUAAACAUCCCCAGCUUAUUGGCGCCGUAGUCUGUGUCUGUACAAAAGAAAAGGGCCUAUCCUAUCCUUGCAGCAAGUGGAUCGUCCAUUUGAAGCGAGUUUGUCAAUUUGUACUUGAAUAUCUACUGGCUAGAUUCACAAAGCUGCCAUAUGCUUUGGCGAGAAUAAAAAUUAGCGAGGGAGUGAAAAUGACUAGAGCCCUUGUGCAUGGGAAGAUGGAUGAUUGCUUGCCCAAUCGCCUGGGCAUUGUUAGCAGAGCUAGCUAGCUGUUAGGGCUCUUUUUUCUAUACGGAGAAACAGCAUCCUGAACCAGCUUGAAACUUUUGAUCAACUAUCAGUUUCAAAUGGACCGCUUACCUAUUAGAACAUGUUUGUUUCGAGAAAGUAAUUUUAAAAAAAUUAUUUUUUAAAUUUUUUUAUAUUUAUUUGUUAUUAGAAAAGUUGUUCAACGAAAAACACUUUCCAGUCAACGAAAAAUAUUUUUCAGUCAACGGAAAAUAUUUUCCGGUCUAAGAAAAAUUUGGUUUGAUUUCCAGGAAAGUGUUUUCCCUUUUAGCCGUGUUUGUUUUCCGGAAAGUGAUUUCCUGGAAAUCACUUUCCAAACUUUCAUGUGUUUGUUUGCCAUUAGAAAAGUUGGUCAACGGAAAACACUUUCCAGUCAAAGAAAAAUUUGGCUUGGUUUUCAGGAAAGUGUUUUCCUGGAAAAUUUAGGCGGAAAACACUUUCCGGAAGUUGUGAAAAAUUUAGAAAUGUCAUUAUUUGCUGAUUAUAUCAAAUUUGAUCCUCAAACUUUUGAUUGUUAUAUAUAAUUUGUUUUGAAUAUUUAUUUUUCAAUUUCAUCUCUUAAAAUUUAAUUUUUAUAUUAAUUUUGGUCCUUAUUUUUAUAAUUGCUAUUUGCUUUUUUCUUAUCAUUUUUUUAUUGAAAUUUUUUAUCUAUCAAAUUUGGUCCUUAUUCUUUUGAUUGUUACUUAUUUUAUUUGAAAUAGUUUAUGAAAUGUUAAUUAUUAUUAUUUUAAUUUCUUUAUUUUUUAUUUUUUUUAAAUUUUUUAGAUUUGAUCUCUAUUAUUUUGAUUAUUAUUUAUUUUAUUUGAGAUAAUUUAUGAAAUUAUAUUUUUUUUUCAAUUUCAUUCUUAUUCAACUUUUUAAUUUGUAAGAUUUGUUCCUCAUUAUUUUAAUAAACUUGAGAAAAAUAAAACAUUAAUAAGUUAUUUUCCAGUUCAUUUCCCAUGACAUAACCAAACACUGGAAAGUGUUUUCCAACUUAUUUUCCAUUACACUACCAAACAUCGAAAAAUACUUUUCCGGAAUUCACUUUCCAAAAGAAAACUACUUUCCAGCAAACGAACGGAGCCUUAAAAGCUCUUCAUGGCAUUGGUUUCGAUUAAAAACUAUGGCCAAUUUGAGACAAAUAAUCGCAUUGCCAUGUUAAGUUUGUACCUUUUUAAAAAAAAAUUCUCAAUGCUUUUUAAUGUAGAUGUUCGGGUCAGCUUGCGUGUACCUCGAUUAAUCUCACGGGCCCUGAAGUUAACGACCAUGUAAGCUUUCAGUGGUCAUCAUAUUAGCAACCACACGACUCAAAUCUAAAAUUAUAUAAAAAGUAAAUCUUUUAGUUCAAAACUCUUACCACUAAAAUACUUACAUAAGAUUUUCAUAUUAUCAAGUACAUUGAAAUCUAAUUAAAAUUCACGGCCAACACAUAUCCCAUAUUUUCAUAAUACCCAUGUGCCAUCAAGCAAUUAUUGUUAAAAAAAGAAAAAAACAUACAUGUAUUAAUUUGGAUUUGCUGGAAAGUCUUCAUAAAAUGUUUUAUCGUAAUUUUAGGACAUUUUAGUGAUUCGAUUCGAUUCAAUUCAAUUCAAAAUCAUGGCUACUUUGGUAAUUUAAACACACCAAGUAGGCACUAUUUUAUUUCUCACAACAUGACAUUUUUUAUUAAACUACCUUCUCCAUAAGAAAAUCCAACGCAAUCACCCCUUCAACUCUCCCGAACCAUCUGCAAAACAUCACCAGCACCCUCCCGCCUCUCUCACCCUCCCGCCUCUCUCAGAGUUGGAAAAGUGAUCGAUAACUUCUCCUCCUCCAUCUCCUCUCUCCCUCCCUCUCUCAAUACACACACACACACACACACAAACCCUCCAAAAGUCAUUAAACCCUCCAAGAAACCAAAAACCUAAAAACCACAGUACCUCUCAAAAAACAUCACUACAAAAACUUCAAACAAGAAAUCAAAAAAUGCCUGCUAAUCCUCCAAAAUCAUCUCUUUUAAUCCAUAGAAUCAACAACACCACCAUAACUAACACAACCCUAAACACCACGAAUACAACCACCUCAACUUCAUGCCAAAAACGGUGGUCCCCUCUAACAUGCGCCACCAUCCCAGUUCCAGAAACCGUUUCACGCUAUCACGCCCACGCUGUAGGCCCCAACCAGUGCUGCUCUGCCGUGGUACAACAAAUCGCUGCCCCGGUCUCCACUGUAUGGUCUGUCGUUCGCCACUUCGACAACCCACAAGCUUAUAAACAUUUCGUCAAGAGCUGCCACGUCAUCCUCGGAGACGGUGACGUGGGUACUCUCCGUGAGGUCCACGUCAUCUCCGGUCUCCCAGCUGCUAAGAGCACCGAACGCCUCGAGAUCCUUGACCAUGAACGACAUGUCAUUAGCUUUAGUGUUGUGGGUGGGGACCAUAGACUUGCGAACUACAGGUCGGUUACAACUCUCCAUGCGUCACCCACAGGUAACGGCACCGUCGUCGUGGAGUCUUACGUGGUAGAUAUUCCGCCGGGAAAUACUAAAGAGGACACGUGUGUGUUUGUAGAUACCAUAGUUCGGUGCAACCUCCAGUCACUGGCACAGAUCGCGGAGAACAAGAAUAGACGCAAUAAUAAAUCAUCAUCGUGAGUGAUGAUAAAAUAUUUACUGUUACUCUUGUUGCUAUAAAUACAUUUAGGGUUUUUCUUUUUUCUUUUUACAAAUGGAAAUGUAUGAUUUGGUGAAAACACCUUUUUUGUGAGAAUCCGAUGUGGGUUUGCCAAUGAUAAUUUGAACACCCCAGUCUGUUGAUUUGUAUUUUUAUUGUUAUUAUUAUUAUUAUUAUUAUUUGUUUUUAAUCAUAGAUUUAAUUUUUGUUUAGCCCCAUUUUGUGUGAAAUAAUUUUUUUUUUUAUAAUGCAUUUCAUGAAAUAUUCUAUCAAUGUUGACAUAAUCACCAACAUUAGCUCCGUCAUCAAUAUCGGUGCUUGUGUCAAGUGUCAUUAUAAAGAUAAAAUAAAACAAUAAUAAAUAAAAUUUGCUUUCAUUGGUUGUUUUUUUUUGGCUGCCAUUAACGCCGAUGAUAGCUGUGUAAUAAUUAAAUAUCAUUGUUGUUUUUGGUGGGAUUAAUAUAAUAGUGAAAAUGGCUUUGGUGCGUGCAGAGAUAAUUUUUCUUCAAUCCUGAUCAGGUGGAUCGUGAUCGUGAUCGUGAUGUGUAAAAUCCGAUAAAAAAAAAUAUAUCACUUUUAAAAGAUAAUGUAGAGAGAUGACAAUAGUGCUGGACAAUUUUAUUCGGGUAUGGAUUACGACCCGAAGACUGUAAAAUCUGUCAGGGAUUAGAGAAGAAAUAAAAUAGCUUGCUUUGUUUAGAACAGAUUAAGAAACAAAAAACCGGAAAUCUGAAUUCCCAUUUGCCGACGGCCGUAAAAGGUGCAGCAACUUCCUUUAUAUAUUAUUAUAGUGUAGAUGCUAAACCUCGUAUGAGCAGCAAAAACAAGUAGCUAGUGCCUAGGUGUGAUAGCACGCAUGAUUCUGUUCCAAGAGAUUUUUAAUUAUGAAGAUGCGUUUACAUGGUACAUGGCGCACACAUGCUUAGCUGGGAUUCUUAUUGUUUAAACUUGGAAAAUGGGGUGGUUUUAGUUAAUACGAGGGACACCAUUUUAGUAAAAAUGGGAUUAGAGCUUGAUGAAGAUCUAAUUUACGAGGAAAACGUGCAUGGUGCCAGUUAACCAAGGAAAGGGACCAGCAGGUAGCAUGGGGUAAGUUAAAAAUAUAUCUGCUAUUAACCAAGGUUAGUUUAAUGAUGAAGUUUGUGUUUACUCCGUACUAAUUAUGAGUUCAAGUUUUUUUAGUAUAUAAUCAUUAAUUUUAUAUAAUUAUUAAUUUUAAAACUUAUAAAAUUAAUCUAGAUAUAUACAAACUAAUUCCGACACCUACAAUAAUUCAAAAAAAAAUAAUAAGAACUGAUAACCUCGUGCGGGAUCACUUCGCUUUCAUUCGACUCGCUCACUAAAUCCCAAGUAGUUUAUCAAACUUAAUACCUUAAUCAAUAGUUAAUUGGGAUCCCAUGAGCAAAUUAACCAAUUUCUCGGGGUCGAUUUCUGUCUUUUCCAAAGAAAUCGAAGGGUUUUGAGAGAGAGAGAGGAUCUUGAUGGGUUCUGUAUCCAUUGUUAUCUAGGAUAGAAAUCUCCAUUUCCAAGGGGGUGGAAGCAUAUGCAUGAUGCAUUAAAAUAAUAGUAACUUGAAGCAGGGAAUCAACCACCAUGAGCUGCUGCCCUGUCAAGCUGCAACUUGACUUUGAUAACUCAACAAACUGUUCAAAGAUUCAAGCAAGUUGCAAAUGUUUUUUUGCUGAGAGAGAGAGAGAGAUGGGUACAGCUUGCAUGUGAUCUCACUUUGAAUGAGAAAGGUUUUUUUCUUUCUGUUUUUUUUUUUCCUGCAAGUUGGAAUGCAAGUGGGGGCCGGGAGGAGCUUGCUUUUAAUGUUCUCAUGUACUAUUGUCUACUUUUGAAUGGCCUCACGCCACCCACUCCCUCUCUCCCUCUCUCCCCUUUGCUUAACUGAUCGCAUCACCACUCCAGAAAAACCUUGACUGCCAUUGGGCUGUUAAAGUCUGUCCCUUCAUUUACUGGCCUUUUCCAUCACUGUUGCUAUCGAACGAUGGACCAAAAGAAAUUGUCAAAAUUAUGUUUAAAAUCUAUUUAGAAUUUUUAAAAAUAAAAAAAUGAUUUGAAACCAAAACUUCGUGAAUAAUUUAUUAUUAGUAUUACCAUUUUCAUAUCAUAUAUAAUUAUUAAAAAAUAUUAAAACAUAAAAAUUUAUAAUAUUAUUUAAGAAUCAUGUCAAAACUAAAAAGUAAAUGAAUAUAUAUUAUUUUUUUGAAGUGUCAAAAUAACCAAAGAAAAUAAGAAAAAGAAAGAAAAGUGUUAUGCAGUUCAUCCGUCUCUUUUUUUUUAAAAAAAAAAGAUAAUGGAUCGUUUAUUAUUUUAACAAAAAUAUUCUCCCUCAACUCUCAAACCUGCUGCAACCUCUAAACUUAUAUAUACGUGUUAACUAACUAACUGAGUUACGAGAUGAAAAUAUUAUUAUAUGAAUUAAACAAAUAUAUUAACCUGUUUUAUUAUUUAAAAAAUAUAAAAAAUAUUAAUUUGAAAAAAAAAAUUAAAAAAUUUUAAAAGUGUUUUUUAUAUAUAUAAAAAAACCAUUCUAAUAUGGUUUACAACUUUACAUGAGAUUUUCAGGGAAACAAUUAAGAGAACAAAACAGCUCCUUUACUCGAAUCAAACUCAGAUCCAUUCCGACCAUAGAAAACCCAUUUCCUAGAAGACCCAUAAAUAGCAUCUGAGAAAAAAGCAAUUUCUUAGAUGAACAAUAUGACAGCCCCAACAACAACAUAAUUAGGUUUCAUACGCACAACUUACGAUUAUGGGGAAGCAGAAAUAAGCACAAGUGGAGCAUUGCAAUGAGGGCUGGUUUAUGAAACCACCACCAUCGACCACUUAAACUUCUUAUGUUGUCACGGUGCAACCACCUCCACAAAAAAAAAAAAAAAAAAAUAUUUCUAAUAACGCACUUGAGGGUCUAGCUGCUGUGGUCAAUCGUGUGACUUGUUCCGCCCCCGUCCCGGGUUCGACCCUCUAUGUGCACGCCUGUCACCCCCGCGGUGCCUUACCUGUUCCUGGGCUUGCAGGAUGUCCAGUGGGCCGUGGAGAAUAGUCGUGGUGCGCGUAAGCUGGCCCGAACACCCAACGUAAAUAAAAUAAAAUAAAAAUUAUUUCUAAUAACAACGAGGAGUGUAGUUUAAAUGUUUAAGUUUUGAGUUUGCUUACUAGAGUUUACCGGUUCAAAUUCCACAAAUCUAAGGGUCAUUGAAAAUUUACAUUAAUUUCAGGACCCGUGAAAUUAGUCGAGAUGCGUGUAAGUCGGCAUAUACAACCAUAUUAAUAAUAAUUAUUAUUAUUAUUAUUUCCAAGACGUUCCAGACAGUUUUACCUGUUCGAAGGAAUCAAGCGUCAACCUCAUUUCCAGCACCUUGCAGAGUAGAAAUAUUACCAGAAACCUCUAUGCCUGCAUGAUAAAGCUAAUAAUGAUGAUGUUCUUGGUGCUGAUAGAUUUUACAUGAAUUAAUAUAUAAUUACAAAUAUUUUACAAGUACAUGGCCAAAAAUGAGAGGGGUAUUUUGGCAAUCAAGGGAGACCACUCUUCUGUCUAUUGCUUUCAGGAAACUACCCAAAAAUCAGAUCCCACUUCCCCUAAUAUUUGAAAAAGAUUCAUGACAUUCGAUUUUCAACAGCCCUGCCCUUAAAAAACUUCAAAAAGGAGAAGGGGAAGAGAGAGAGAUUCUAAAACGAAGCUGAAGAUGGCAAAGAAGCAGCUGAAUGUUGUUUUUCUGUCUCAUGUUAUAAGCUAGGUUCCAUGCAAGUAUGCAACAGUAUUGCUGGAAAGGCUAAGGAACAAAAGGCAUACUCGUAGGGGAUUCAGGCCGGCCAAUGGGUUCUGUCUUGUGGACUCAGUGAUUCCUUCAGGGCUCAAAUCCAUGCACCGCUAUCUUCAAAGCUACUGUGAGUCUUUCUAUAUUCUUGUAAAUUACAGGUACCUUGACAACAACGGUUGAGAUGGCCGAGUUGGUCUAAGGCGCCAGAUUAAGGUUCUGGUCCGAAAGGGCGUGGGUUCAAAUCCCACUCUCAACAACACAUAAAUUUUAAAAGAGCCAGGCAGUCUUUUUGGGCUUCAGAAGUUUGGUUUUAUUAUUGAUCAGAAUGGGCUUGGGCUGGAUUUAAAAGAGUCCUUUGUUUUUAAUUUCAAAAUUUUUUUUUUUUUUUUUGGAUUAAUGGAUGACUGGACAUGGUUUGCAGAUGAUUUAGGAGGCGAGAUGAAAGUUCUUGAGAUAUGUUUACUCUUUGAGGCUCUAGUAUGGGUGAAAGCAGAGUAAAAAUCAUUUUCCUUGUUUGAUGAAGCAUCACCAUAUCUACCAUCUUCAAAAACUGAGAGGCCCUGAUCAACUGCAUCUCCCUCGUUUAAGAAAGUUCCUAUGUCUUCUGGGUCGCCAAGAAGACUCCUUGCUCGUUCCAUCUCCUCGCUGGAAACAGUUACGCAUCUUCUGGCACAUCAUCACUAAUAACCCCAUUAUUUUUCAUACCCACUUUCGUCCCUGAAAGCAAUAAAUCCUGCCACCCAAAUUCCCCAGAUUUUAGGUAUGAAACAAAGCGGUCGGGGUUUAUAAAUAAUUAUGGAGAAAGACGCUCCUUCAUCGUCUCCGAGGACAGAUAACGCUUUCGCAAUCGAAGAUUGUUUUAACGCAACCGAUUUCCCUAAUCCUGUGCGGAAAAUCGGUGCAUUUACUUUCUAUAGAAUCUUCGAACAUCCUUCACGCACACAAAAACACAGUCAUGUAAUGAACGCGUGUUUAUACACAUACUGAUACAGGUAUAUAUAUCCAUAUCGAAAUACCUUGGAGUAAGAGAUCGAUCGGCCAUGGAAGGGGGGUGAGUUUUGGAGCUGGGAGAGGGGGUUAGGGCUCCGCUUGGUUUAGGUUCGGGUUUCGCGUUGAUGAUUUGAAGGGAGACUUCCCAUCGGAAAUCUUUCCGGCGUGGGAGAGUAUUUGCCACGUCGAGAUUUUCAGUGUGAAAUUAGGGGUUCUGUUUUUUUCCUGUUGGGAGAAAUGAUGGUUUUUAGUGUGUGCGUAUGUUAAGAAGGCGGGAAAAAAUGAGAGUGAAUAUGCAUUGAUGACACACACAUGGGCUUGUGGGUUUCUUAGAUUGAGGUGUAGUGGGCUUAGAUUGUUGAGUAGGGCUGAAUUUCGGAGCAAUUUCAUGAUACUUAAAAAUAUUAAGUAAUAUACUCUAAAAGGCCAUGGAAAGCUAUUUCACUUUCCCAUCAUUAAUAUAUUAUAUUAUUAUAUUAUAAUAUAUACUAAAAAUUAAAUGAAACGCUAAAUAUUUUUUUUAAAAAAAAAAUUUUGUUCUUUUUUAAUGAAUUUUUUUGUUUGAUCCCGGGUUUGAUAGGUUAGUCUGGUUUGACGAGUUAACCCGGAUUUUUUUUCUUUUUAAUUAAUUUUUUUCAUUUAGUUUAGUUUGUUAAUAUUAAAUUUAUUUAUAUUUAAUUAUCAGACUUUCAUAACACGUAUCCCGGACUUGACGGGUUAACUCCGUUAAUUUUGGGUAAACCCGUCAAUUGUUUUUUUCUAUUUAGUUAUCAAGCUUUCAUGACGCGAAUCCCAGGUUUGACGGGUUAACCUGGUUUGAAGGGUUAACCUAGUUAAUUCAGAUUUUUUUUCUUUUUCUUUAUUAGUUUUUUUCUUCCUAUUGGUUUUUUUUCCUUUGUUUUUUCUUUUUAAUUAAUCUAUUUAAUUAUCACACUUUUAUGACACGACCUUAUAGUCAAACCCACAUCCAAUACUCUAGGGUCCGGUGUUGCAGUCAGGCUCACUUAAACUUAAGUCAUGUAAGUUUAAUGUUAUUAUUAAUAUUAUAAAUAGUAUUCUUGGGUCAAGCGUUGCAGCUAGACCCAAGGCUUUUGAGUAUAUCUUUGCAGAAAGACCUAACACUCUUAGACCUUAGCAUUUUUUUAUAUUUUUUAUGCAAGAAAAAAAAUUUAACCCGUGGCGUAUGCCUUUGUUUUUUCGUUUCCUUUUUAAGCCUUUUACUUUGAAUAGCACGGUGCAAUCCAUAGUAAAAAAGCUUAUGCUUUAGUUUAUUUUUUUUUGUCUAUAGUUUCUUAAAAAAAUAAUUUUUUAUGUUUAAUUAUCAUGCUUUCAUGACACGGAUCCCAGGUUUAAUGGUUUAGCCCAGUUGAUUCAGAUUUUUUUUUCUUUUUCUUCAUUAGUUUUUUCCUUCCUGUAGGUAUUUUUCUCUUUGCUUUUUCUUUUUUAAUUAAUCUUUUUUUUUUAAAUUAGUUCAUUAAUAUUAAAUCUUUUUUCUAUUUAGUUAUCACACUUUCAUGACACGAAUCUCAGGUUUGACGGGUUAACCUGAUUUGACGAGUUAACCCAAUUGAUUCAGAUUUUUUUUCUUUUUUCUCAUUAGGUUUUUUUCUUUAUGUUAGUUUUUUUUCUUUGUUUUUUUCUUUUUAAUUAAUUAAUUUAAUUGUUACGCUUUUAUGACACGACCUUGCAGCCAGACCUACAUCCAAUGCUAUUGGGUCUGGUAUUGCAGUCAAACCCACUUAGACUUGGGUCAUGCAAGUUUAAUAUUAUUAUUAAUAUUAUAAAUAUUACUCUUAGGUCAGACGUUGCAGCCAAACCCAAGACUCUUGUGUAUAACUUUGCAGAAAGACCUAACACUUUUAAAUCUUAAUUUUUUUUUAUUUUUUUUAUGCAAAACAAAUUGACCCGCGGCAUCGCGCGGGUCAUGUAACUAGUAAUUAUCAAUAUUUAUAGCAUAAGAAAGAGAUAAUAAAUUCUGAGAAAAAACGAGAGGGAAUUAAAAAAAAUUAAAUUUUUUUUUAUUAAAUUUAAUAGGUCCUAAAUGUGAUUUUCUUUUUUUCUUCUUGUGUUUAUCUUUCAUCCAUGUUAUAAAUAUUAGUAACUACAGCAUGAAAAUCAUAAUUUAUUUAUUUAUUUGAAAUUUUAGUAACAAGGAAAAUGAGUUCUACUUUUCAUUCCUUUUUUUUUUUUUUUUUGAAGAGAGUGGUUUUAUUUUGUUUCAACUUUGAUAUUAUAAAUUUCAAAAUUGUGUUACAUACAGAGCUUACUACAAUGUUGGGUAAAUGGCUAUAUAAUUGUUAAAAAAUCUGACUUUAAUUAAUAUAUUUUAACUAUUUCUUCACACGAGGGGUAUAACCCGUGACAACAUUGUGUUAAUCUCAUCAUUCUAGACAUAUUGUAUAAAAUAACAUUUUAUCUUUUAUGUCUUUUUUUUAAGUAACUAAUGUCCUUUUAAAUUUAAAAAUUAAAAAAUAUAUUAAAGGAGAGAAAUCACUAUAGCAAUUCACAACACUUUCUUUUUCAUUUUUGUUCUUGAACAUUUUUUUUUAAUUACAAUCUUCCAUGCCUAAUUUUAUUAUUGAUUUGUCAAAACCUAUUAAAAAAAUAGUAAUAUUUAGCAAUAAAGAACUAAGGUGUAAAAUAAGACGAAAUUCAUGGCUAAUCUUAAUUCAGAAGAAAAUUUUCUUUUUAGUCUAUCUACUUUUCUUUAUCUUACUCUACAACCCUUUUAGUUUUUAUAAUUUUAAUUUCUUCUCAAAAGUGCAUUUUCUUAACCUUUUAGUCCCUAAACUUGAGAGAUGAGACAAAAAAUGAUAAAGGAAAUAAAAAAUUGGCAAAUGAUCAUUUUUUUGGCAAUGCAAAUUGAUAUUUUUAGUGUUAAUGAAUUUUAUUUGAUGAGAAAAAUUUGAUGAUGGUGGUUUUUCUCUAUGCCUGAAAAACUAGACCGAGUUUGAUUUAGAUUUUUUUUUUUUGGUUAAUUUUUUUUUUUAGUGACUUUAUGGUGUUUUAGGGUUGCUAUGUUGUUUAUGGAGUGUUUACAUGGUAUUUUUAGGUAAGAAUAGCUUGAAAAUAAAAUUUUAAACAAAUAAACCCCUCCCCCUAAUGGUGGCUAAUUUCUAUGCUAACAUCUAAAAGGAAACAGGUCGUUUGUCAUUGCAAGUGACCUGUCAACUACUUAAAAAACAAAAUUAGGAAUAGAUGAUGCUUUGUCAGCUCAUGAGACAAAAAUUCAAAAACCUAAGUGUGUAUAUUGACUUCUAGGCCCAAACAUUCAUGGGUUUUUUUUUUUUAUUAAUGUAAGGUGCAUGGGCCUAGCCCAUUAGCAUCUGACCUAUUUUUUAUUUUUAUUUUUAUUUUUAUUUUAUUCUUUAAUAUUUGAUCGGAUUUUGAAUUAAACUCUAUAAUUUAUUUUGGUUUUUUUAUAGGUUUAUUAUGAAUUCUAACAAACAACCUGAUAUUUGAUUGGUGCUUAAUUUGUUUUUUUUAUAUAUAUAUUCUCUUUUUUUUUAAAACAAAUAAGGUUAAAUUGCUCCAAUCUUCUUUAAACUUAAAGUUAUUUGAGAAUUAGUUCAUAUAUUCUUAAUUUAAAUUUUUAAAUUUUUAUACUUUAUUAGAUUUGAAAUUAAGUUAGUUUAUUACUUUUUUUCAACCAUCCCUCCAUGUUUUGCAUAUAAAACGAACAAGGUGAUUUAAAUACUCUUGACUUCAAUAACCUUUAAUCUAACUAAUCAAUUUUAUUUUUUUUAUUGAAUUAAUUAAAUUUUAGAAUUAAAUUUAAUAUCAUAGUUUUAAUUCUCCAUCUAGAAAAUUUGUUUAAUUUAGACAAAGAAAAAAGGGUGUUUAGGCUACUAGUUUUAAAGCUAGUUAAAAUCAAAAUAUUUAGAAGGAGAAUUAAAAUCAUGAUAUUAAAUUCUAAAUUUAUUUAUUUUAUUUUAAUUAAUCAAAAUUAGUUCUAUUUAAAAAAUAAAAAUAAUUAAUUAGAUCGGAUAUUAUUGAUGUUGAGGAUAUUUAGUUUAUUUCAUUAGUUUUAUAUUGAGAAUCUAAUAAAAUGAUAAAUAGGAUACACAACAGCUUCUUAAAGAUAGAUUCAAUGCAAUUAAGCAUUGAAGGAUAAAUUGACAAUGCCUGAGUAUCAUGGCUUGAUUUCAUCAAAAUGGAAACUUGAAAAUAGUUGUACCCCAUGAAAGUGAAUCCUUUUGAACUAUUCACCGGAUUGAUCCAGCCUAACCACCUUGGUCACUGGCCCGGCCCAGUGACCAAGCUGGCCACGGUCGGCAAGCAUGCGUGAAUUCACGCAUGCUUGCUACAGGAAGUGGGUAAUACCUAGCGUAUCAGCUGGAGAUGAAGACGUGAGGCGAUCAUGCCUGGUCAGGCAAUCCUCCUCUCCUCCCCUCUGUUUCUGUCAGCUUUGUCUCUCUUUGGUCUCUCUCCUCUCCUAUGGUUUCUGUUUCUCUGGUUUGUCCUCUGUUUUCUCAUGGUUUUUCGUCUCUGUUUUUUCUUUGGUUCGAUCGGGCGAGUCAAUACGAGAUCCUUGCUUCUGUUUUGUUGCUGUUUUCUAUUCUUUCCAUCUCUGGUUUUUAGGUUGUCUUCCUCUGCUCUCUGGGUUUUCUUCCUUUUCUGUCUCUCCGUUUUUUCUCUAUUUUUUUCACCCCCCCCCCCCCCCGCUCCAUGGGUUCCUCUGCUUUUAUAGGCCACCCUGAGUGAAAUUCGAUCCUUAUCUUCCUGGGAUCAUGAUCUUGUAUGAAGAUAAAAUUGUCCCUGUGUUUGGUGGGAUUAGGACACCAACAGUCUUGCCAUUGUUGGACUGUUAGUGAUGGGUUUCCUUAAUGCCAGAGGCGCAUCGUGGGGGCGAAGGAGACUGAAUCAAUUUUGGGAUUUGUGGUAGACCAUUUGGUAUACAUUCUGGCUUGGAUUUGGUGAGAUGAUGGGGUCUAACAAAGGCCAUCGUUUUUUUGUCCAGACAACUUCCUCUGUUCCAGAGGAGGAACAGGAUGAACAAUCCUCCAUGGAGCGACGUCAUUUCUUAAGCUGAAAUGGGCAUCUUCAGUUUGCCCCUGAAGUUCUGAUGUUUUGCAAUCAAGUUCUUGCUUUUGAAAAUCUUCUAUUUUUUAUAAUAUCACAUCUAUUUAUUUUGAUUUCUGAAAUUUAAUUUCUUAUAAUUUUAAUCUGAAUUGACCUUAUACUUUGAUAUUUCUUCAAUUAAACCUCUAAUUAUAUUAAUUAAACUAAUUUAAAAUUUAAUUAAGCUCUUAAAUUUAUUAAUUCUUCUGAUUUUUUGUCAAAUUAACUUCUAACUUUAUAAUUUCAUCCUCAUUAGCCUUCAAAUCUUUAAUUUAUAUUGUCUUGAUCAAUUUCUUAAAUUAUUUUAUUUAUUUUUAUUAUUUUUUGAAAAUUCAAAAUUGGUUCGGACAAAGAUAUCCAAUUGAACAUCUGUAUAAUAAUAAUUUAAGUGCCUUAUCUUUAUAUUAUAAUCUCAUUCCUCAGCUUUAUCUAACAAAUCCAUUGAGAUAUUAUAUUAAAGUAUUAGUCUAACUAGGAAUCCUUGAUAAAAAAAAAAAACAUUAAUAUUAGAAUUCUUAUUUAACUAAUAAAUUAGAAUUUUUAAUAAAAUUAUAAUAGUUAGAGAUUGUAAUCUUUUUUAUAAAUAUAAGAGCCAAUGUAUAUGUGUGUUUUGAAAGGUGUGUGAUCAAUCAAUAAGAGCUUGGGAGGUUCAAAUGUUUUACGUGUUUUAGUUUUUAACAAUUGAUACCAAAGCUUAAAUUGAUUAAAUGAAUAAAGAUGCCAGAAAAAUUCUUGGCAACAUCAAGAAAAGAGUUCUUUUGCAGUUGCAGAAUCUCAGCAAAGGCAACAAGUUCGCUUCCAAUAUAGUAAAAUAGCCACAAAUUGUCGUGGUAGCAAGUUAGCAACUUCAAAAUCACAGCAAAAAUUCCUCCCUUUACCGAGGCAAUAGCAACUCUAACAAAUUAAAUCAUGGCUUCCGAUAAUUUUGUUCAACUUCUCAUUUCACUAUUUAAUGGUCACUAUAUUCAUCGAGGAAUGUUAAUGGGGAAUUUUUUAAGAUUGAUAAAGUAUUAAUAAAUUUUUUUUAAUAAAUAAUUGAAUUAUCGUUCAUUAAUAAUAGAUACAUAAAAAAAAAUAUAAAAACACAACGAUUGAAAGAUUUCAAAACAAAGAAUUAUCUUUUCUAAUUAAUUCACUAAUCAAUCUUGAAAAUUAUUUUUUGCAAGGAAAAGUCUAAGGAUAAUUGGAAUCUGGUGAAAAAAAAUACCAAUAAAUAACUAAAGAGACAACAACUUCAAACACUUCAAAUGAAAUUUGAAUUGUUUGACAUGAUAAGAGAAAGUUAACCAUAUAUUAUUUCUCAUGAAUAACGACAAUCACUUUAAACUUUGUGAUUAAUGACCAUUAUGAAAAAAUUAUUCAUUUUUCUAACACCAAUCAAAUCAUUUUUUGAAAGUAAAGUUCUUGAUACAUUUCUCUCAAAUACAUAGAAAAUUCAUGGAUUGAAAUACUUUCAUAUUCACAUGAUGUAUCAUGUUUUUUGAACUUAAACACUUGAUUUCUAAAGCUUUUAUUCAUGCUAGUUAAAAAGGUAGUCAAUAUAGGUAAUAAGUAGCUAGAUAGUCCGUAUUACACCUCGGACGAAGCCAAUACUUUUCACAAUAUAAUAAAAUGAUAUUCGUAUGACAUUAAUGUUUUCAAAUAAAUAAAAAAAUCUAAGAUUAAGACAAUUGAAAAAGACUAUCCGCAUUGUCAUAACAACAACCCGAAAAGCAAACUAAAAAACUAUUAUAAAAUAAGUAUCUCAUGUUUAUAUUUAAUCAAUUAAUUUAAUUUAAUUCAAUUCAAAAACAAAAUUGUUAUAAAAAAGCUAAAGUCAACCUGUAUUUUUUUCAGAACGAAUAGAAAAUUUCAUAAGAAGCUAAAAACAAAAAGCAAGAAAACAUUUGAGAAUGAGACCAAAAAAAAGAAGGGAAACAAUUAAGCAAAUUUUAACAAACCUUCUAAACCCAUGUAAUUUUCUAAUAAAAUAAAUACUAAUAAAAAAAUAGGAAUUAAGUCCGAAGAAAAAAGCUAAUUGAAGGGUUGCAUUGAUUAUUUUUAGGGUAGGAUAAAAAGAAAAGAAAAACAAUAAAGAAAUGGUUAUUGACUGCGAAUCGAAAGUGAUGAAGUUACAAAUGUUGUAUGGAGCUAUGGGCAGGUAGGAACUAUUGAGAGGAUUCUAUCACAGGCUUGAAAGCCACUAUUUAGCCAAGUAAACUCGCCGCACGCGCCACCACAACAUUCCUAGUUUUUUUAAAAAAAAAUUGUUGUUAAAUAAAAUACAAUCGUUAAUUAUGAUUUCAACGUUUUCAAGUGAAUGAUCAUGAAACUUUGUUUUUAAUUAGUAACAUUAGUAGAGCCAGACGACCCGUCACAAUAUACAAUGGAUAUCACGAGUAGAGGAGAGAAAAAGGAAUACACUUGAGGAUCCGUUUCAAUAAUUUGUUUUCCCAAUUAGAAUCGGUGGCUUAGUCACAAUCAAGGAGGGUCCCUUACAAGUUACAACACAAGGACAGUAGGUAGACCAUAUAAUCACAAGAUUCCGUGCGCAGAUUAAAGAUUUGGGCGUCUGGGAUUACUCCUACUGGGACAAGAUGAAAAUAAAAAUGAAAGAUAUGUCGGGGCCUACGGACAAAUCAUAUCUACACAGUAAGACGACACAUCACCUUGACUUUUCUACUCUUCAGGCAUGGUCAGCUUGACUUACUAGUUUUGUCCCGCUGGUCAGGGAAUAAAUUAUACCAGACGGUCGAAAUUCGGGAAUUCUUUAUUUUUCGAGCCAUUUUUUUUUAAUGCUGCCACCCACUUGCCUAGUGCCAUUUUUAUUUCCCAAGGCAUCAAUCAGCUGUCCAAUUUCCGAUUUGUACUGUUCGUUUUUUAUUUAUUUGUAUAAAUGUUAUGAAGAAACAAAUGAUUAUUGGUUAAUUAACUAGUGAUUAUUAGAUCACGAGAUGAAUUACGUUGUACAUUGAACAUAAGUUAACGAACUGUAAUGUUUUUCCUGUUUCUCAAAAUGCUGAAUGCAUGCUGUCCAAACAAUCAGAUUUCGCUUGUUUUAACCUUUUUCGUUUGUUGAUCUUAUAUAUAAUUAGUAUUUAAACAUUGCAUCUAGCAUAGAUUUGUGCCGUAGGUGCUAGCCAAUAGCCAUUAAGCGUGCAGCUAAGGCUUGAGAGGCAAGCCUCCGGCCCCCACGUGGUGUAUUUAGAAUGAAUCAAAGGAGCUGUGAUGUGACCACCACGAUCACAUAAUAAUCUUUCACAGAGACUGGCCUUGCCGUCUCCGGCUGGGCUUCGGCUUGCCCAUCAUCACAAAUGCUUGGUUUCCUUCUUUUUAUAAUUCUCACCCGACUCCACUAUUAUAAUUUAUGUUAUUGAAUAACGAAAAAGGAGGAAUCUCUCCUUCAUGAUAAUGGAAGAACAUGGGAGCAACAAAACUUUUUCUCAACUUAAUAGGAGGCAAGAAACAUGUGAACAAUGGGUGUUUAACAGCGGCACUGGCUUCGGUCCUCCGAGAUUAUCCAAUAAGCUAGUGUACAAGAAAAGGAUUCGAGAUCAAUCAUGGCGGAUUUGCAACUUCCACCCAAGACAGAAAUACUGGCGAGAAACAUGUUUUUUGUGUAAAUUUUAAUUUUAAUCUGUCCGAUUGAAACCGGGACGGUGUUGAUUGAUUGUUUCCAAAUGCCGCCGAGAAAUUAUGAUAAUUUCUUGCAUUAUUCUCAUCACUAAGAAUAUUAUUAUGUCAAUUCUUUUAUGGGUUUGAAAUUAGAUGGCAGUAGUUAAGGUGACCGUGUUGUGUUGUAGAUGGGAUUUUAAGUUAAUUUUUAAUAAUAAUAAAAAUGUUAGCAUUAUAGAUAUGUUUUAUAAAAUCAUGAAUUUUAUUAAUUGAAAAACAAAAAAAAUAAUGUAUGUGCUUGAUAAAUGGAUUCAAAAAUAUAUUAUUAUGUCAAUUCUUUUAUGGGAUUAAAAUUAGUUGGCAGUAGUUAAGAUUUAUAUUAUUACUUAACACACUUUCUCAUCUAAAAAUAUUUUGUGCUUGAAACUUACACAUGCUCAAGGACUACUUGACUACCCAGCAAGCUCCGGCUCGAAAGCAACAAGCAACUCAUUGAGCUUAGGCCCUCAUUCCAUGCUUUUGUAUGCGGGGUGGGGAAAGAUACCCAAUGUAAUCAACCUCUUUUUAAACAUAGAAGGCGUAGAACACAUAGCGAAUGCGGUGCAGGCGAAAAAACAGAUAUUUUUAUUAAAUAAAUGGAGAUGAUGAGAUUUAAACUCGUGACUGCUUAGUCAUUAAGGCUCUGAUAUCAUGUCAAGGAACCAUCUCAACCUCAUAGUUUAAGUUGUUAGGUGAGGUCCAAGAUACGAUUUAUAUUAUUCUCUAACAUACCUUCUCAAAUGAAAGUCAUUUGAGCUUGAAACUUGCACAAGCUCACAUUACGUUGUGCUUAAUUUUUAUCAAAUAAAUGGGAUGGUGAGAUUCGAACUCGUGACCGCUUGGUCAUCAAGGCUCUGAUACCAUGUUAAAGAACCAUCUCAACCCAAAAAUUUAAGUUAUUAAAUGAGGUUCAAUAUAUAAUUUAUAUUAUUCCAUGACAAUACAUAUUUUAUAAUUGUAUACCAUAGAGAAUCAUGCUAGUUAAUGAUAACAUGGUUGCAAUAAACUGUGCAACAGAGAAAAGAGCGAAGGCAACAUGACCACAAACAUGAAAAUAAAAAACUUAAAGGAUCAAAUUGAACUUCUACAUAAACUUCAAGGACCAUCAUGCUUGUUUUGCAGGUGUUUUAGUGAGCUCGAUCAUCAUUCUUCAUUGUCAAUCACCUCAAUUCAACCUUUUGAACAGUCAUUUCAUCAUAGUAGAUUUUCCAACCGCUUCAAACCAAUUUCCUUUUAAAAAAUAUAUUAUAAACUCACUUGAGUUUAGGCUAAUAUAUUAUUAAAGAAAAUUAGCUUCGUGUUGUGACAUUAAAAGUUUCACUCUCGUAUGGAGUUUGUGUGUUAAUUGCUAAAAAAAAAAAAAACAAUUGUGGAAGCUUAAUUUAAACAAUUAAAUAGCAAAAUAAAUAUUGCUUAAAUAAUAUUUAAAAAACAAAAUAAAAAACUUGUUGUAUGCAUCUUAGCAUGACAAAAAAAAUCCCUUCUAAUUGCAAGUUUCUUGAAAAUAUGUAUACGAAAAAGAGAGGUAUCGGAACCUUUUCCAGGUUUUUCUUAAGUAAAUUCCAAGCCUUCAAGUAAAAACAAAUAUUACGAGGUUUGAUAUAUACUAGUUUGAUUAUCAAUCUAUGGUGUGGGAUGAAACUUUUUUUUUUCCAGACACAAAAAAAUGUGUUGGCAUUAUUAACAGUUUUUUUUACCACCAAGAAAAAAAUUAACUACGAAAAGUUUAUACGUGUAUUUAAUAAAAUAAAUUAAAAAUUAUAUAUAUCAAUAAAUGAUAAUAAAUCUGCUGAUUCUAACUAAAGACCGAGUCGAGAAAAUGAAAUAAAGAUGCUAUUUGUUUAAAAAAUAGAUUAAAUAUUUGUUUUGGUUUAAAUCAUAUACUUAAAGUUUUAAUUAAUUUAAAUCAAUAAAAUUAAGUUUUAUCUUGUCAAAUCAAACAUCAACUAAUGUCGCGUUUAUUUAUUGGAAAGUAUUUUUUUUUUGCAAAGUGAAUUCCGAGAAAGUGAAUUAUUUUCUGAUGUUUGGUAGUGUAAUGAAAAAUAAGUUGAAAAACACUUUCUAGUGUUUGAUUAUGUCAUGGAAAAUGAGCUGAAAAAUAAUUUAUUAAUAUUUUAUUUUUUCCAAGUUUAUUAAAAUAAUGAGGAACAAAUCUUACAUAUUAAAAAGUUGAAUGAGAAUGAAAUUGAAAAAAAAAAUAAUUUCAUAAAUUAUCUCAAAUAAAAUAAAUAAUAAUCAAAAUAAUAGAGAUCAAAUCUAAAAAAUAAAAAAAUUAAAAUAUGAAGAAAUUAAAAUAAUAAUAAUUAACAUUUCAUAAAUUAUUUCAAAUAAAAUAAGUAACAAUCAAAAGAAUGAGGACCAAAUUUGAUAGAUAAAACAUUUCAAUUAAAAAAUGAUAAGGAAAAAGCAAAUAACAAUUAUAAAAAUAAGGACUAAAAUAAAUAUAAAAAUUAAAUUCUAAGAAAUGAAAUUAAAAAACAAAUAUUCAAAACAAAAUAUAUAGAGCAAUCAAAAGUUUGAGGACCAAAUUGAUAUAAUCAACAAAUAAUAUGAUAUUUCUAAAUUUUUCACAACUUCCGGAAGUGUUUUCCGUCCAAAAUAAAAGGAAAACACUUUCCCGAAAACCAAACCAAAUUUUCCUUUGACUGGAAAGUAUUUUCCGUUGACCAGAAAAUGUUUUUCGUUGACCAACUUUUCCAAUGACAAACAAACACGGAAAAGUUUGGAAAGUAGUUUAUCGGAAACCAGUUUUCAAGAAACAAACACAGCCUAAAUAUCAAAACUUGAUUUUAACAUUGUGAGAGCCCCUUAUAACGCCAACCAAAAUAAAACAUUAGACUCAAUUCCAAGUCAAUUUAGCGUGAAAGGAUUAAAUUGAUAAGAAAAAAUUAAAGAAAAAAAAACACUAUAAAUAACCAUUGCAAUCUACAGUGAGUUUUCCUUUCUCAUAUGUUAAAUUUUUAUCUUUUUUUUAAAUAUUUUUGUUAUUUCAUAUCAUCUUGUGUUCAUGAUUUCAAAUACUAUUACAUGGUUGAUUAGACAUCAAAUAUAUAAAAUCAAAUUACAAUUAUUAAAUGAAAAGAAAAUAAAAUCAAUGAAAACAAAGGAUAUGAAUGGAAAAAAAGACUCAAUAAAAAAAAUAUAAAUAUAAAUGGAAAAAUAUAAAGAUUCGAAGAGGUACAAUGUUCAUAAUAUGACAAGUGUUUUCACCUCAAAUUUUUUAAUGUUUUUGUUAUAAUAAUUUAUAAUAAUAUCAAUUAUAAAUAUUACUUCCCAGUUCCGAACCUGAUCAAUGUACUAUACAUUAAAUAUUAUCCGGUCCAAUUGAAACCGGGAUGGUGUAAUGUUUGUUUUCAACUAUGGUGUCGUGCAUAAUGCGUAUCUUGAUUGAGGUUUUUAUUAUAUUCUUUUGAAAAAUUGAAAAAUAGGUAAUAUAUAUAUAUAAUCGUGGCUCCAACAAUUGUUAAUUUCAUCCCCUUCACGACCGACACUGUUGAACAACCAGGCUUCUUGUAUUUGUUGUAACAGUAACCAAAAUCCUAUAAUAUCAUGUACUGAAUAUUGCUAACGUGCAAUGAAAUAAAUAUAAAAUAAAUAACGAAGUUUUUUUUUUAAAAAAAAAAUCAGUACUGGAAAAUAUUAUGAGAUUUUAAUUUUGUUUUACGACAUAAAAUCUUACGUUGUUAAAUUUAUUCAAACAAGCUCAGUUUUUAUUUGUGCGUUUCUCUAUAAUAUUUUUUUUAUAAUAUUUUAUAUAUAUAUAUAAAUAUCCUUAUAUUCUUUUAAAAAACGAGAAUAAUUUUAUUUGGGGAUCAUGUCAGCUCCUACCAAUAAGAUUUUUAUAUGAUAUGAAUUUUAAACUAUUUAUUUACUUAUAAACUUUAGUAUAUUAAACACUUAGUAUAGUUAAGAAGAAAUGGAAUGAAGAGUCAGUGUUUUAUUAUAAAAUCAAUAUUAAAGGAAUGUUUGAUAAUCCCUUCUACCAACCUGAUAGCUGUUACCCUAGAGAUGGGUUUUGCCGUCAGACUUUUCUUUCAAGUUAGCAUUCGAAAUUAAUUUUCUCUCUCGAAGGAUUAGCUAGCUAGCAAGUGGCAAUCUUUCUUUCUUUUUUAUUUUUUAUUUUUUGUCCUUUUAUAUGAAAAAGCAAAUGGUAGUAUGAUCUUCAUUUGAAUUUGAAAGAGAAGUGCAAUGAUCUGGAUCCUAUGGCCAAGAAUUCUCUAACGCAUGCCCCAGGAAUCAUUGCCAAGGGGUGCCCAAGAGUUCUGCAAAUUCAGCUACCAUUUGUGCGUCAUUAAUCGGUUUGGCAGAUCGUGUCAUAAAUAUGAAGCCCUAGAGGCAUGAUGGCUCCAGCUCGGACUGGACUGGAUUGGAUUGGAUUGGAUUGGAUUUUCAUGGGAGAUCAGGAGGAAGAUGCACCCUGAUAACCUUUCGGCCUAAUAUGCCACCAAUGUCCUUUCUUUCUUUCUUUCUUUUUAGAAAAAAUUUAUACAUUUUUACGUUUUAGACGUAAAUAUUACAACACAUGCAAAGUAAUUAAAUUUACAACAACACACGUAUGCAUGUGUGUAUACUCUACAUCAGGGUGGUGAGGCUGAGCUUCUGCAUCAACUCACAAUCACAAUCUAGCUUCGCUUCUACAAUAAUUUAUUACACUUUAGCAAUCUUACUAGAAAUCGGACGAGCAGUUACUUCUGGUUGGAGGCUGUCAGCUAUCACUGUUGAUCUGUACUUUUUUAAAAUAUAUUGCAGCUUUCUUUGAUGUUUUUUAAGAAUAAAUCUUAGCCCGAAUAAAAAACAAAUAGUAUAUAAAACUUCAUAUUUAUUCAAGUUAUUUUAACUAAUAAGUUGAAUGGUCAUAUUUAUUAUAUGGAUAAAAUUAUCCAGAUUAAUUAUUUUUAUUAAAACAUUUUUAUUAAAACGAUAUUAUUUUAUUUUUUUAAUAUUUAGAUGAGAUUAACUAAGUUGAUCAAAAUUCUUUAAAUUAUAUUUUAUCCAAUUCAAUAUAAAUUAGGCUCCACAUCUUAAAUCUCUCAAAUUAACUUAUCACUCGUGACAGGGUUUAGUAGCUACUAGUUAGAUGACCCGCACGAUGCUGCGGGUUAAUUUUUUUUACAUAAAAAAUAUCAAAAAAAGCGAAGAUUUAAAAGUGUUAGGUCUUUCUGCAAAACUAUACCCAAGAGUCUUGGGUUUGGCUGCAACGUCUGACCCAAGAGUAAUAUUUAUAAUAUUAAUAAUAACAUUAAACUUGCAUGACCCAAGUUUAAGUGGGUUUGGCUGCAAUACCAGACCCAAUAACCUUGGAUGUGGGUCUGACUGCAAGGUCGUAUCAUAAAAGUGUGAUAAUUAAAUAGAUUAAGUAAAAAGAAAAAAAUAUAGAAAAAAAACCAACAUGAAGAAAAUAACUAAUGAAGAAAAAGAAAAAGAAAAUUGAAUUAACUGGGUUAACUCUUCAAACCAGGUUAACCAGUCAAACAUUGGAUUUGUGUCGUGAAAGUUUGAUAACUAAAUAGAAAAAAAAAUUGACGGGUUACCCCAGAAUUAACUGGGCUAACCCGUCAAACCCGGGAUCCGUGUCAUAAAAGUCUGAUAAUUAAAUAUAAAAAAUUUAAUAUUAAGAAAGUAAAUUUAAAAAAAUAAUUAAAAAACAAAAAAAAAAGAAAAAAGAAAAAAGCCAGAAAAAAACUAAAGACAUCGGCUUUUUCACUGUGGACUGCACUGUGUAGUCCACAAUAAAAGGCUUAAAAAGGAAAAGAAAAGGGAAAAAAACAAAGGCAUACCCACGGGUUAAUUUUCUUUUCUUGCAUAAAAAAUAUUAAAAAAGGGCUAAGAUCUAAGAGUGUUAGGUCUUUCUGCAAAGAUAUACUCAAAAGCCUUGGGUCUAACUGCAACGCUUCACCCAAAAGUAAUAUUUAUAAUAUUAAUAAUAAUAUUAAACUUACAUGACUCAAGUUUAAGUGAGUCUGACUGCAACACCAGAUCCAAGAGCCUUGGAUGUGGGUCUGGCUGCAAGAUCGUGUCAUAAAAGUAUGAUAAUUAAAUAGAUUAAUUAAAAAGAAAAAAAACCAACAUAAAGAAAAAAAUUAAUAAAGAAAAAGAAAAAAUAUAUGAAUUAACUGGGUUAACCCUUCAAAUCAGGUUAACCCAUCAAACUUGGGAUUCAUGUCAUGAAAGUUUGAUAACUAAAUAGAAAAAAAAAUUUGAUGGGUUAACCAAGAAUUAACUUAGUUAACCCGUGAAACCAGGUUAACCAGUCAAAUCCAAGAUAUGUGUCAUGAGAGUCUAAUAAUUAAAUAGAAAGAAAUUUAACAUUUACAAACUAAAUUAAACAAAAAAAAUUAAUUAAAAAGAAAAAAAAACUUCGGGUUACCUUGUCGAACCAGGUUAACCAGUUAAACCCGGGAUCCAUGUCAUAAAAGUCUGAUAACUAAAUUAAAAAAAAUUAACAUUAACAAAAGAAAAAAACAAAUAAAAAUGGACGGGUUAACCCGUAAAACCAGGUUAACUCGUCAGACAUGAGAUAUGUGUCAUGAAAGUCUGAUAACUUAAUAGAAAGAAAUUUAACAUUAACAAACUAAAGUAAACUAAAAAAAUUAAUUAAAAACAAAAAAAAAACUCCGGGUUAACUCGUCAAACCAAAUUAACCUGUUAAACCUGGGAUCCUUGUCAUGAAAGUCCGAUAACUAAAUAAAAAAAAUUUAACAUUAACAAAAUAAAAAAACAAAAAAAAAUGGACGGGUUAAUCCAGAAUUAACUGGGUUAACCCGUGAAACCUGAGAUAUGUAUCAUGAAAGUCUGAUAACUAAAUAGAAAGAAAUUUAACAUUAACAAACUAAAGUAAACAAAAAAAAUUAAUUUAAAAAAAAAUCCGGGUUAACUCGUGAAACCAAGUUAACCUGUUAAACCCGGGAUCAAUAUCAUAAAAGUCUAAUAACUAAAUUAAAAAAUAUUAACAUUAACAAACUAAAUUAAACAAAACAAAAUUUAUUAAAAGAAAUAAAACAAAGAAAGAAAGAAAAAAGCUAAAGUCAUCAAAAAAGAAAAAAUUAAAAAAAAUUAAAAAAAAUAGCUUAAACUAAAUUAAACAAAAGAAAAUUUAUUAAAAGAAAAAAAACAAAGAAAUAAAGAAAAAAAGCUAAAGGCAUCAAAAAAAAAAAAUUGAAGAAAAAUAGCUUGAAAAAAACAGCUUAAAAAAAAACAAAAAAAGAAACAGCUCAGCCUUCACUGUGGUGAAAGGCUGAGCAGUUGUAAUAUAUUUCUAAUUUCAUUAAAAAUGUGAUUACGCUGAAAAUUAAAGUAUUGCCUUUAGAAAAUAUAUACUUUAGCAUCCAUCUACCAAAAAAGGACAAUUACAAAGGCAAGAACGAGAAAGCCUUUGUAUCAACGAACCUGCAGGUGCCCACCUCGAGCUCCUUCACCACCCACACGGACGUGAUCCUUGGUCUGUGUUGAUUAAUCUGGCAUCUUGCAAACUCUUAAAAGAGUCGAAAACUAUCACUUAAAAUAUCAAUUUUUAGUACUUUCAAUAAUCAUAUGCACUUAAUUUCCCAGGGCUUGUAAUAAGAGGACGAACCACACCUCAAUGACAAACGGCAUCACCCAACCGAUUGGUUUGUCUCAUAUAUAUAUAUUUGCCUAUUUGGUGUAGAAUCUCCCAAUCAAUAAGCUUGUAGCUUAAUAAUAUCUUGAAUAAAUCAUAACUUGUGGCUCUGUAUUUCUUAAUAAAUAUAUAUUUUAACCCCUAUAUUUUUGAAAAUAAUAUAAAUUAAUCAUUUUAUUUCUAUACUGAUUUGUAAAUCCAGUCCCUUUAUUAAUAUUCCGUGGUGAUUAUUUAGAUUUUGUCACUAAAAACAAACUCAUCAUGUGCUUAAAAAAUGAGCGACAAAGGCCUGGGGAGUAGAAAAUCAAAUUAAGAGAAGCUGGUACAAUUUCCAAGGCACCCCCAUAAGAGUUAGGGAAAAGUUUUAUUAUGGUCAGUGUUGAGUUUGAAAGAAGAGAGGAUUUUCCCAAAAGGGGCACUCCAUUAUAAACCCUGAUAUCUGAACGGAACUACUGGAUUACCACGAUUUUCAGGACAUGCAUCUAGCCAGCGGUCAAUAGAGGGUUUGGAAGGGGCGUCAUUGCCAAUCGCAUCAAUCAUAUACCGAACAUCUCAUGAACGGGCCAGGCUAGACUAGAUCGAAUAGUUUUUUGGCAGUAUUUGAUUGAAUUUUUAUUCCACUGGGGCAUGUAUUCCUGGUUGUGUAGGCCGCAGGAGUUUCGAGAUUUGUUGAGUGAUGAGGAAUGAAAAGUAAAGUCGAUGAUAGUUGUUGAGAAUUGUCAGAUUGAAUGUUUCCGAGUAAUAUACGAAGCAAAAAUUUCGAUACAUGAGGGGAGGGCUGUGUUGUCAUGUCAAGGUACAAGAGAAUGUGUGGAUGCGAUGGAUGCAAUGUGGCGGUGGAUGGUAUUAUUAGCACUGGAAGCAGUGGUUAUAAUGACUGUUGCAGGUGUAUUGAAUAGGCAUGCAAUGCCUCUUAUACUACAAUGUAUUAAUAUGUUGACAAUGCGGUUAAAGCAAUGCCUCGAGGAGAUGUUACGAGUCUUGCACCCAAAGGGCAACUUAGCUUUAGAGCCAUCCAUGAGUCUCGUCUGUCGAAUAUUAAUUUCGGGUGCAUUGGAGGAAACAAAUCAUCUCCCUUUUAGCUUGAACUGGAUCUUUGGGGAGCGCGGAUCUUUUUUUUUUUUAACCUAAAAAAACAUAUGCUUUUUAAUAGUAGGAAAAUCAAUUAAAUUGAAUGAAAUUGAAAAAAAUAAUUAAAAUAAUUAUGGUUAAUUUAUAUUAAUUUGUUAAAUUUACAAUCAGGUCAUGUGAUCGGAAUAACUUAAUAAAAAAUAAAUUAUAAAACUCAAUUAUCAAUCAAUCUAGUGUUGAAAUAUAAAAUUAAAAAUAAACAAUUAAAAAAAAAACAACUCGAGUCAACUUAAGUUAACCCAUUAAAUUCGUUGCCUGAGUCUUGAGAUAGAAAUAACCUCAUAGAAAGCAAAUCGAAACAAAUCAUGAAGCCUAAUUCUUAAUUUAAGGAUGAUAUCGAGAAAAAAAAAUCAAUUAGAAAAAAAAAAUCAAUUCAACCGAGUUAACUUGUUAAACCUGCGGUUCAGAUCAUUAGAUUUGAAUAACCUCAUAAAAAAAAUUGAAAAAAAAAACAAAGGAAGAAAAAUCAAAAUACUAUUCUAGUGAAUAAUGUUUUGUGAGAACGAGUACAGUGAAAUCGCCUUCUCUUUUUUUUAUUUUUAACUAGCCUCAAUUCCCGCUUCACCACGGGGCCAAACUAUUUUUUUUAUUUAAAAAAUUAUGUUUAGGUGUUGAAUUGGGGUGAAAAAAAAUGAUAGGAAAAAUUAGUCAUGACAAAGUUGUAACUGUGCUAAUUAGGGUUAAGCCAAUCCGAUAUAUCUUGUCAAGCUCGCGACUUAGAUCAUGCGAUUGAAAUAACCCGAUAAAAAAAUAAAAAGAAUUAUAAAGUCUUUUUUUUUUAAAACCAUGUUAACUUUUAAACCUGUGACCCGAGUCAUUAGACCUGAAGCAUUCAAUAUGAAAAAACCAUGAAGUUCAAUUCUCCAUUAAUUAAAUAUUUAAGCAUGAAAUGGAAAAAAGAAUUUUAAUUAUACAAAAAGAUUUAAAAAAUAGAAAUUAAAAGAAUGAUGAUCAAAAUCAAAAUAAAAAAUAAAAUUUAUAUUUAAUUGAAGGGUGAAAUUGAAAAAAUAAUUCAAUUUAGUAAAAUGAAAAAAGAAAUUAAAAAAAUAGAAUAAAAAUUGACAUGGAAAAAAUAAUAAUAUUAUAAUUAAAAGGUGAAAUUGAAAAGAACAAUAACUUUUACAAAAGAACUAGGAAAACAAUUAUAAAUCAAAACAAUGAGGAUCAAAUUAGAAAACAUAUUACUAUCAAUUUCAAUUGAAAGAUGAAUUUGAAAACCAUUAAAACUUUUACAAAAAGUCCAAGAAAAAAAUAGAAAUCCAAAGAAUAAUAACUACAUUAGAUAAUAUAAUAUUUGAUAAAUUAGAAUUGAAGAAUAAAAUUGAAAAUAGAUAAAAUUUUUAUGGAGGAAAGAGAGAAGAUUAUGGAACAAUUCAUUAUAAUUAUUAUUGUUGUUGUUGGAAAAUGACUUGGGUGUAAAUUAGAUAAAACACAUAGAACAUAUAAUGUAAUGAGAUGGAUUGGUAUAUUAUUUUAAAAUUCUUAGUUAUGUAAUGAAGACUUUUUAUAAAGUUUCGUUCUAAUGUCUGAUUUUUUUUUUUUAAAAAAAUUAUUUUGUCUUUAUAUUUUAUUUUUAUUUAUAAAUUGGUCUUUAUUUGAAAGUUUUUGGUAUUUAUAUUGUUUUAAAUUGUAAUUUAGUAUUUGAAUUUUUUUUUUACAUUUAAAUCUCUACAUGAUUAUUCUUAAUCAGGUUCGUGAUCACAUAACUUUUUUUUAUGCAAUAUGUAUAAUGUAAUAAGGUAAUUUUUUAUUAUAUUAUAAUUUUAAAAAUUACAAAACUAAACAUAGAAAUGAAACGAACCACUACUUCCGAGUUCCGAUGAAACAGGUUAAAAAUAGCUAGAGCCCAGAGUGGCGUGAACACUUAACCAGUCUUAUCUUGAAGUAUUUGCGUGCAUGCUUGUAAUUUUGUAAUGGUUUGUUUCAAGUUAUGAAGCUAGCACGUGGGUAUAUAUUGUUAAAACAAAAGAAAAAUGUUGUAAGAAAAUUCACAUAUGUGUGAUUAUGAUUGUUUUUUAAAGUAAUUUUCACUUGAAAAUAUAUCAAAAUAAUAUUUUUAUUUUUUAAAAAUUAUUUUUGAUAUUAGCGCAUCAAAAUGAUCUGAAAACACCAAAAAUAUAUUAAUUUGAAGUAAAGAAAAAAAAUUUAAUUUUUUUCAAAAAUAUUUUUGAAAAGUAAAAGAAAAAAAAUCAAAUGUUGACAUCGGAAAAGAAAAUUUCAAGAAAUUUAAGAAAGAAGUUUGUUUUGAUACACGAAAACUAUCUCGAAGAUGCUAUAAAUGUAAGAGAUUAUAAGUUAGCACAGAGCUUGGAGACACACGCGCACACACACUUACUUUCAAGUUUUGAUGGUUAGAAAAGGGGGAGAGCCUUAAUGGUUAAAUUUACUUGGUAGAGUAUGUAUGACCAUAAAUAAACGCAAGAUUCUUCUUCCCCACUUGUGUUUUCCUUUUUAGACUUUGCAUUAGGAAUGCGUCAUGAUCUACUUAAAACAGAGCUUGGUAAGGUAAUUGUCAAUGGUUAAGCAUGGUUUAUCAUGGGGACAAGAAGUACAGGGAACCCAAACCUGUUCGGUCAACGUAAUUAUCAUCAUGGAACAAACUUUCCCAAUCGACGAAAAAGUUUUUAAGCCGACACCAAACAAUUAGGAACAAAGAGUACUUUCAGGCACAAUAAUUUUUCAUUAUUGCUGUUUUUUUAUGUGUUUUAUUUGAAAAUUAUAGUAUAUUUUGUUUUUUUUAUGAAAAUAUAUUAAAAUAAUAUUUUUUAUUUUAAAAUUUAUUCUACAAUUAAAAAAUAUUAUAUUUUUUAUUUUUAAAAUUUAUUUUUGAUAGUAACAUAUUAAAAUAAUUUAAAAAUAUUAUAUAUAUAUUUUUAUUAAAAUAUAAUUAGAUCGGAAUGCCUUGAUAUUAUACCUUGGUGUUAUAUUAUCAACGCAGUUUUUUUUUUCUUAUUAAUUUGAGUGUUUGGGUCAGUUUGUGCGCAUCUCGAUUAAUUUCAUGGACUUUCAAGUUAACGACUAUAUAAACCUUCAGUGGCCAUCAUAUUAACAAUCAUAAAACUCGAAUAUAAGAUCACAAGAAAAAUAAAUUUUUUAAUCCCAAAUUCUUAUUAGUACAUCACUUACUAUAUGAUUUCACUUACUAUAUGAUUUUAUAAAGAUAUUGCGAUUGAUAAGAUGGCAAGAUGAAAUAAUUUGAGAGACAGGGUUGAAUUCGUUUUUAUUAUGAAAACAUGGAUAUGAUGUGAUAACAAAGUUGUGAAACAUGAUUCGGAGUUCAGAAAGGUUUCGGUGAAAACAUUUCACCCUGCGCUCAUUUCAUUUGUCGAUAUGCCAUAGGCCUCGCCACUUCCAAUUAGUGGACGAUCCAUCAAUUCUAGUACAUUCGUCACGCACACGAAAACCUGGGAAUGACUCCUCAUUUUAGCUCACUGUAGACUUCUUACAAAGUAUAUUUUCUGAGCGAUUGACUGAGUAGCUUUGAUUGGUAAAUUUUGUUUUUUUAAUUGAGAUAAGUUUUAAGAGCAUUUCCCCUCGUUAAUCUGAUAUAAAUAAAUAAAUGGCUUCAGAAUCUUAAUUCUCAAUCCGAACUCAAAAAAUCGAAAGAAGAUAGCACCACCUUUAAGUUGUUUGAGCCUUACUCCAUGAAGAAAGAAUCAUGCUGAGAGAUACGAAAGUUCGUUCUCUGUUUCUGCUACUACUGGGCGUUAAAAAAAAAGCAUUGAAAUUGGAACCACAGUUGCUUUCAUUAUGAUUGACCAUAAAUAUUAUUUUAUGCAGGAGAAAGAGAAGUGAGGAAAAUGACCUAAUUGCGCCAACAAGGAGGUAGCUACAGUGAUAGUUCAUAAUUAAGCAAGCUAUAAACUCCCACACCAUGGUCCUGCCUCUUGAAAAUUUAAGUGAUUAACACUAUAUUAUGUACGAUGGUAAUCAUUAACCAGAAGAUUAACUAAAAAGGAGAAGUAAUCAUGAAGCAAAGGAAGAGUGGGGUACAGUAUUUCACCGAAGAAGAAAAGGAAAUCUUAAAAGUAUCAACAGUACAUACACAGUAUAACCCUUCCCAUAUGUCAUUAUACCUGUACCGUAGUCGGCAGAGACAUUAAAUAACCAUUGAGAUUCAACAACAACAAAAAAAAAAAAAAAAAAAGGAAAAACAAAAAAAAAAAGAGAGAAGGAAAAACCGUCCUUCUAAUUUGCACAGACACUGUCAUUUGUCAAAAAAUGAGGGUUUUUAGUCAAGUUCUCAUGGGACUCCAGAAAUGACAUGUGGCUUCACUUCCCCACGUUGUGUUUAUCAGUUUCUGCUAUAAAUACAGCUCCCCCUCCUUUGAACUUUCCCCACCAUUACCAGCUAGAGCAUCGGUUUAGGUCCCUUUGAAGCUAAAUAGCUGCAAGGCUUGAUGCAUAGAAAAGUAUGGAAGAAUCUGUUAAGCUCAGGAGGGAUAGCGCCCUAAGGAUAAUCAUGGGCUCUUUUUAUGUGGUUUUUGAUUCUCAGUGGCGCUAUCCAUCCUGAGUUUCAUUGCUUCUUCUUGCUACCAGCUCCUGGCCUCUCUCUGUUGGGUCUUGAAGUGCCAUUAAUUCCAGCUUUUUUGAGAAGGUGAUUUGUUACUGGUAUGUACUAGCGUUUGCUUUUAAAUUCAUUUCUUAUCGGGUUUCUCAUGUUUCUUGUUGUAGUUGCCAUGGUUAUUGAGGGGAAUUUCCUUUGAAUAAGUGGAGUAUUAAUGAUAGUUUCUGUUCGAAGGCCAUUAUGAGUUCUGCGCUCAUGCUGUGGAAACCAUCAUAGAUUGAUCUUAAUUCAGAAAUAUGCCAUUGAUGGAAGUUAAAUGGAUAGUCCAUAUUGAACUAUUUAUGUACAUAAAUUGAUAAUGUUUUUCCUUCUUGACAUGCUAAUUACGGUUAUGGAGGGAGUUAAUCGUUUGCUCUACACAUGGAUGGAUGGAUUAUGAUAGCGAUUGUGUGAUUGUGAUUGUGAUGGCGAUGAUUAUAUUAGCAACACAAAACUCCAAAAUAAAAGUAACAGUUUGUAAUAAUAAUAAUACAGAAACAAAAUAAUGCAGGGCUAGCUUAUCCAUUUAUCAAAUUUGGUCUGGGAGGAUGAACUUGAAGAUGUUGACUGCUUCCCAUCUUCGUGUAAGUCGCGGCCCUCGGUCAUGUUCUUUCGAGUCGUUUCCUUUACUUUAAUUAUAUCUAUAAAAAAAAAAUUAAGGCAAAGGUUUGUGCAAUUAAGUAAUAUCUGCACUCAUUUACAGCUUUAAUUCUGAUAUUUUGCCCCCUUUCCAGGUGACCGUGUUUCCACGCUGCUUCCGUUGCUUCCACUGAAAGAUCUCCGGUGGUUGAUAGCUUUAGACCAGUUUCCUAUAUUAUAGUAGAAUCUUUUUAGAUUUUAAUUUUCUUCACGGAAUUAAUUUACAGUGAAGUAAUUAUAAAAUGAUGUUACCAGGGCAUAGUCUAGAGAGCCACCCCAUCAAGUUCGAGGUGAUCUGCUGAGGGCCUUGGGUAAAAAAAAAUAAAGGUAUUGCCUUUACUAAAAUCCCCUUGAACUGGGCAGUACAGAUGGAAGCGUACAAGUUCGAAUGUAAAUGGAAUAACUUAACAUGAUUUUUUCUUCUUACGAAUAUCUUAAAUUCAAUUGUAAAUAGUCAAAUUAAACAAAAAUUGCUGAAGAGAUACCAGUUGUAUUGCCAAGACAACGAGGAGCUAACAAUCUGAAAGAUUUUCCUCGUAGAUAUACAUCUUUUACAUUUGGAACGAGACGCUUAAAGUAGCACAAGAACUAGGUAUCUUUUCCUCGGAGAUACCACAUUGUCUUGCUCAAACCCAGGCAAUGGGGGCUAGGAGCAUUUCUUGUUCAAGUUGUGUAAGAACAGGAUUUAGGUAUUCAUUAAUUCUAUCGUUUGUUUAUGGUUGAAGUUAUCUUCAUCAUGCGAAUAAUCGCAGGUUGCCACAGGCAGUGGGAUCGUGACAUGAUAUUUAUGAAGAGUCAAUAAUUUCACGAAGCUGAAUGGAAAUAAAGCUUUAGCCAAGACAAUAGAGGAGACAAUAUCAGUUGUAGGGGCCGGGAGAUUUCCAAUAUUUCACCUUUUUAUCCCUAUUCUGCUUGUACUCGGACCAUUUUUCACCUGUUCUUUUUCACUUGUUCUUUUUGUACUUGGAACAACCCUCCCCGACGUUUUCAGAGUUUGAGAUCUGUUUGGUUGGUUUUUUUUUUAAUUGAGCGAACUCAAAUUUACCUUCCAAUUAUUGAGGUAACAUCAGUUUUGCCCUUGAGUAUAUAUUUUGUCUCUAUUUUUAAGGUUUGCCCAUCUUUAUUUCGUGGAUAGGAGUGUGGUUGUUUUUUAAAGUAUUUUUUUACUUAGAAAUCUAUUAAAAUAAUAUUUUUUUAUUUUUUAAAAAUUAUUUUUGAUAUUAAAACAUCAAAAUAAUUUAAAAACACUAAAAAAAUAUUAAUUAAAUUAUUUUUUUAAAUAGUUUUAAAAUGGACGUGUUAUUGAGAUUUUGCAACCUGGGGCCUAAAUGGAGGCUCUUUGUUUAAAAUUAUUUUAUUUUAUAUUUUUAGAUUGUUUAAUAUGUUAAUAUUAAAAAUUAUUUUUUAAAAAUAAAAAAUAUAUUAUUUUUAAGAAAAAAACAUUUAAAAAACAAUAAUUACUAACACUAUCAAACACCCUAAUAAUGUUUUUUUUUCAUGAGUUGAUUACUUUGUAUAUGAGGAGCUAUAGCUCAAUUUAUAUCCAAUGCUUAAAUCCCUAAAUAAAAAGAGACGUGCAAAGAUUUGAUAAAUCUGGAGCCCCUCAAAUGAGCCUAAAAGCUAAAGCCCAAACAGACAAAGUUGUAGUGGGCUAAACCCACCAAGGUUAGGUGGUCUCCAUAAGCCCUUUUGGAGAGCACAGUUUGACGCCCUUGCAAAGCCUAAACAAGGAAGCUCAACAAAAGCAGCAACAACCAAAAAAAGCAACGUGAACUGUCUAUAUUUCCUUCUUCCUACUACAAAGAGGUUAUUUGAGUUUUGAGGUGCCGCCGCCACCACCACCACCACCAAUUAGAGGCACAACCACUUAUUUAUUUUACAGUUCACCAACGUGAACUGUCCUCAUGGUACUUGAAACUGAAUCUAUCAUCAAAGCUAUCCAGAUUGGUGAAAGUGGCUGUUAAAGGGUCGAUUAUUACUGGCUUACGACAGUGGCUGACAUUAGAACUCGAGAGCUAGAACAAGUAUACGCAAAAUUGCAGCUCGGAGUUCAAGGGCCAAAUGUUUUUCCUUCCAGUCUUUUCCUCUAUAUGAUUUCAUGUAAUGCCCUUGCUGUGAGAAAAUGUAAAUCGGUAACUGCCCUCUCUCCGUAUAAACUUGUAUUCUACCUGGAGGACGGUUAUUUUUUGGGACAGACUGUCGCCCCAAUUUUGGAAGAAUUUCUCUCUGUCAAUAUCUGGAGAGUGAUUGUCAGCAUAUAGAUUGCGCACCCCCUUGUCGAUGGAACUAUAUAUUCUAUAGAGAAUGACAUGCAUAUGAAGUGCCGAAUCUGUACAUUCAGAAAGUACAAUUUGGAGGCAUAUUCUGGCACAAUCUCAAAAUUAUUUAAGGAAUCCGAUGAAAUCUUUUGUUGUGAGUUGAAAGUGAUUGAAUUGCUAGAGAUCUUUCUACUGCAGACAUAAUAAAAAAGGGAGACCUAUAUAUUACGCAAAGAAUAAAAAAGUACAACGGCAAUGGAACUCAUCGCUAGAUACCAAAGCAUCUUGUUUUAUUGAUAAUCAGAUUUACACCUACAAAUAUUACUAGAAUUGUAAUUCAGGGUACCACUGAUCAAGCAGGCCUGGCUCUCCAACUAAGCCCCCGUUGAAGUCCUGCUGUGAUAGAUCAAAAUUCCAACCCAGGCCUAUAUCUGCCUCCUGAAAGUAACUCAAGCUCCCUGGUAGAUUGGUUGAUGGGGUCUGCAACUGGCAGGACAGUCCUGAUGGCCUUCUACUCUGUAGGUGGCUUGCAGAACCAACCUUCGCGGGAUCAUAACCAUAAUUCCCCCCUCCUUUUAAUACAGAAUUGUCAGAAAUAUCUUGGAUAAAAGGCUUGAUAUCAAUUUCUUGAUUGCAUAAACCCGGGUUCAUGUGAUCAUGCGUGGUCUCAAAGGGAUUAUAGUUGCUGAAUUUCAAGCCUGAAAACUCUUCCCCUGCUGCUGCUUCCCUCAUUAAUGGCUUCUCAACAUCAUAGAUAGGUUUAUGAUCAGUUCUCAUAUCAUAGUCCGAAUCUACGCACUCAUUGAGUCUGGUGCUCAUGCUGGAUUCCACAACCUCAUUCUUCAAUUUCUUAUGUUCUACAUUUUCAGUCUCAUUCUGCAAGAAUCCAUAUCUGUUAUUGAUACCGUAACAGCCCCAAGAUCUCAAAAUUCCUGCACAUUCUCCAUCUAUUUCUUCCCUCAAUACUGGUGCUUCAGCUUCAAUAUGAUGAGACGAUUUCCAAUCAUCUGUUAAAUUCCAUUCCACAGCUUUCAACUCCAUUGCACUGCUCUCCGCCACCCUGAUUUUCUCAACUUCCUCUUCUGAUUCGUCGACAGCACAUAUCCUAGAAAAGCCUGAUUGGUUAUUUCCUUCUCUAGACCCACAAUGAUUAAUCUUUAAUUUGUCAACCUUAUUAUCCUCGUAGCUAUCCAAUGCUGUCCUAGAUUCAGUUGAUGAUGUCUCAGUUGCAGUAAUCGAAGACGACAUAUUAUCCAGGUGAUUCCCAGAUUGAACUGGGUAGUCAGGGAAAUUGAGUAUGGCAUUAGGACCAUACAUAAGCUUUGCAGCAUAAUCAUAAGCACAAGCAGCUUCAAUAGCAGUAGAAAAUGUACCAAGCCAGAGUCUACUUCCUUGUUUGUUCAUUAAACUGCAUUUCUUGACAGGUUCUCUGAUUUCAGCAACCCACUUGCCCCAAGUUCUCUGUCUAACACCCCUGUAUCUGCAGUUCAUAUUCUCCGGGCCACCUUUUCCUUUCAUACAACCCUUCUUUGAACCCUUCCCUGGAACCUUGCUUACUUGAAGUUUGUUGUGUUUCUUCCACCUUGCAAGUGUAUCUUCUAUUGAUUCACAACCAUUCCGCCUUCUCUUCCUGUCCUUGCUGCUAAACCCUAGCAAAGAACUCUGUCUCAAAGAAUCCUCCAUGUCAAUACUCAUAAAAGAUCUUCAAGCUUGUUCUAAGCCCACAAAGCGAAAAGGUUUACGAGAACAAAUUCCAGUGUUGCUCGUAAAAGUCUCAAGAAAAUCCAGUCCUUCAAUUAUUGAAAUACGUAACGUGGUAAGAAAAAAAGUUAGUAACCCCUAAAAAAAAAAGCCAAGGUGUCUGAAGAUUAAAAGAGAGCACCAACUCACUAAAAGUAACUUGUCCUUCUUGUGCAGUCGAAGUGCUUCCUUGUGUGCGCUUGAUUGAUAUCUUCCUUUCUAAUUCUUUUAACUCCUUCAAAGGUCUCUCUUCGUCUAUUCUUUUUUCCUAGCUGGGGUUUAUCUAUGGUUUUAGGAUUAGUCUGUGCUUGUUUUCUAGUGUGGGGCUUUGUUGCUCAAUGUUUCUGGUGGUUUCUCUUCCAGCUUUCCUGGUUAUUCACUGGACUUGCCUUGGGUGCAAAGGAAGCGAUAGCCUACGACUAAUCAGAUUUGCCAACUUUUCAGAAGAGACUGGAUUUGCUUGCGAUUCCGCUUUUAUAGUCCCAAGAUAAAUGAUGCUUUGUUGACGUGGUCGUGUCAGAUCCGGUCGUGGCUAACUUGGGCGCCAAUAAACGCGGCAACAUCUUAUUACAUGAGACACGUCAUUUUCUAGGCUUAAAAUUGCUUUUAAAAAAUUUAAUUUUUUUUUAUUUUAAAUUAAUAUAUUUUUAAUAUUUUUAGAUAUUUUGAUAUAAAAAAUAAUUUAAAAAAAUAAAAAAAUAUUAUUUUAAUAUAUUUUCAAGUAAAAAAUACUUUUAAAUAUAUAUUUUUUUUAAUUUAGUUCAAUAAAAAAAAUUCAAUUUUAGUAAUAAUUUAUGAACGUGUUGAAACUUUUUUUAAUUUAAAUAUUUUUAUUUAAAAUUAUUUUUUUAUAUUUUUAAUUCAUGUUAUGUUAAUAACUUUUUAAAAAUAAAAAAAAUAUUAUUUUAAUAUAUUCUUAAAAAAUAAAAAUAAAAUAAAAUAAAAAAUAACAACACAAUAUUUUCUAACCUUCCUAAUCGUAGUAUCAAAAAGAAAAAGAAAAAGAAAAGGUAAAAGUUUUCUACUUUCCUUGUCAUGACGAAUAAGGUUCUUGGAAAGUUCCUAUGCCACAUCAGUGUAAUUUCUUCGUCUUUAUUGGGGGCCGCUAAAGUACCUUCUCUACUACAUUCGGACGGUGUCAGCUGCUGAGCAGCAAUAAUCACAAUAAACAGAGAUCAAAGCACCAUGACCAUUUGAUUUCAUUUCUUUUCUAAAAAAACAACCAAGUUCUCAGUUCUCUCCCAGUUCAAUAAAAUUCAAGCUGGUACAAAGCAAAUGAUUUUAAUGCAUCGAAAGUGUAGCCAAAACCCAUGAGAGGGAAUGGCUAGCCAUUCUGAAAUUCACCGUCUAGCAAUUGUUAGUAUCAUACACUGGUUCUCUGAUAAUCGGGCAUCUUGAUCUCGCCCUCAAAUAUACAACAACAGGAGCCAUCAAUACUAAUUUCUUGAUAAUCGGAUCUUCCAAGCAACGACUACAGAUUGGGCGCCUUCCUGUUCACAAAGAUCCCCACGAAACAACAGGAAAGAAAAGAGGAGAGAAAUCUGAACUUAGUGGAUCAACUUUUACAAAUAUGAAAGAAUUUAUGCUCGUUCUCUAUCCAAUUUCACACUGUGACACAAGAUUCAAUUUACAACUCUUAUAACCCACCACUUAUUAUCAUUGCAGCAGGACUGGAUAUAACUCUAUUUUCUGAAAAAAGAGCAACUGUUUAUUCCUUUUUCUUUAAGCAAAAAAGGGAAAAGAAAACAAGUUAGCUGACACCAUAUAAAAAAACACAAGGUGCACUGAAGCAGUUAUUCAGGUGCAGGGCUGGCAACUUUGUACCUCAGUAACUCAGUUUCCUAUUAUGAUUUUCCUGCAAAAAGAUGAAAGCAAAUACAUAUUAAGUCAUGUUUGUUUCUGGAAUUCACUUUUUUAAAAAUCACUUUUCAAACUUUCCUGUGUUUAUUUGCCACUAGAAAAGUUGGUCAACGGAAAACACUUUCCAGUCAAAGAAAAAUUUGGUUUGGUUUCCAGGAAAAUGUUUUCCCUUUUGGCUGUGUUUGUUUUCCGGAAAGUGGUUUCCGGGAAACCACUUUCCAAACUUUCAUGUGUUUGUUUGCCAUUAGAAAAGUUGGUCAACGGAAAACACUUUCCAGUCAAAGGAAAAUUUGGCUUGGUUUUCAGGAAAGUGUUUUCCUGGAAAAUUUGGGCGGAAAACACUUUCCGGAAGUUGUGAAAAAUUUAGAAAUGUCAUUAUUUGCUGAUUAUAUCAAAUUUGAUCCUCAAACUUUUGAUUGCUAUAUAUAAUUUGUUUUGAAUAUUUAUUUUUCAAUUCCAUCUCUUAAAAUUUAAUUUUUAUAUUAAUUUUGGUCCUUAUUUUUAUAAUUGCUAUUUGCUUUUUUCUUAUCAUUUUUUUAUUGAAAUUUUUUAUCUAUCAAAUUUGGUCCUCAUUUUUUUGAUUGUUACUUAUUUUAUUUGAAAUAAUUUAUGAAAUGUUAAUUAUUAUUAUUUUAAUUUAUUCACCUUUCAUUUUUUUUAAUUUUUUAGAUUUGAUCUCUAUUAUUUUGAUUAUUAUUUAUUUUAUUUGAGAUAAUUUAUGAAAUUAUAUUUUUUUUCAAUUUCAUUCUCAUUCAACUUUUUAAUUUGUAAGAUUUGUUCCUUAUUAUUUUAAUAAACUUGAGAAAAAUAAAACAUUAAUAAGUUAUUUUCCAGCUCAUUUUCCAUGACAUAACCAAACACUGGAAAGUGUUUUCCAACUUAUUUUCCAUUACACUACCAAACAUCGGAAAAUACUUUCCCGGAAUUCACUUUCCAAAAGGAAACUACUUUCCAGCAAACAAACGGGGCCUAAGGCUAUAUGAAACCAUCCAGGAUGAAUAUAUCUAGCUGCUAAGGCAGAGUUAAAAAAAAAAAGAAAUCUGAAAAUACAGAAAUACAAUGCGAAUUCAUACCAUCUCCAAGACCUUAGCAUUACUUUUGUCAACUUGGCUAGCCAAACUGUACGCUUAACCAACAUUUUUUCAUAAAAAUCUUCUAACCCCAUUGUAUUAUUAUUGGCCGUCUAUGAUCCCAUCAUCAACUUCCCAAAAUCCCCAACACCAAUCCCUUGGGUAACCACGUCCAACUCCUUUUGAUCCCUCUACUUUAUCAUAUCGUAAAUUUGUCCUCAAACACCCAUAAUUCCCUUUAAGAUCCGGAACAAAAUUAAUUAAGAUCAUUCCUACUUGUAAUGAGUCUAAGUAACUAAGAGGAAUUGAUAGAUCAAAAGGUAAAGCUAGUAAAAGAAUGUGAGUAAACCUUCACCACGUUGAGAGAAAGAAGGAGGAGGAAGAAUGAGAGAGAGAUUCAUGUAAUUGCCAAAUUAUUCUUCUAUACGCUUCAUGACAGGUAAAUCCCCGAACACCCUUUUAUUUUCAUGAUAUUGCUUGAGUUGAGAAACACGAAAAACAACAUGCUUUCAGGCAGAUGAGGGCAAAUCCAAUUUGUAAGCUACUAUCUCAAUUCGUUCAAUAACCUUUUAUGGUCCAUAAAACUUAGCAGAUAGCUUGUGUGAAACCCUGGAAGCUAUAGAUUUCUGCUAGUAUGGUUGUAACUAUAGAUACAACCAAUCACCCACAUUGAAUUCUCUUUCACUCCUCUUUUUGUUGGCUAGUUGUUUCAUUUUAUGUUGUGCUGCCCUAAGGUUCUUCUUGAGUAAAUAAUACAUGUCUUCCCUUUUAGUUAGCAAUGUGUCCAUUGCUUCAACAUUGCAAUCCUUAUAGAAAUAAAGAAUAUGCAUGGGUGGUGCCAAGUCGUAUAAAAACUUUAUAAGGAGUGACCUUUAUAGAAGUGUGAUAGUUUGUGUUUUACCACCAUUCUAUUAGGGUAACCACUUUGACCACUAACUUGGGUUAUUUCUAAUUACGCACCUCAAAUAGUUCUCCAAACAUUUGUUAACAAUUUUGGUCUGCUUAUCAGUCUAUGGAUGAUAAGCAAUAAAAUAGUGUGGAUGAUAAGUUAUAAAAUAGUGUAAUUCAAUUCCUUGAUAUGUAAAGAUAUUUUCCAAAAAUGACUUAGGAAUAUAAUAUCUUUAUCACUUAUUAUCAUUAUAGGAAGACCAUGUAGCUUGUAGACAUGGUCCAUGAAUGUAAUAUAUAUUGUAGUGGCAUAAUAUGAGUGAGAAAAAACCAUAAAGUGAGAGUGCUUGUUGAACCUGUCCACAACCACAAAAAUAAUCUCUUUGUCAUUUGAUUUUGGUAAACCUUCUAUGAAGUCCAUGUUGAUAUCAGUGAAAAGAGCGUGAGGGAUGGACAAUGGUUGUAGUAGACCUGGUGGUAGGAUAUUUUCUAAUUUGUUUUUCUGGCAAACCAAACAUUCCCUCAUAUAUAUUACCUUGUCUUUGUAGCCCCUUUUAGUAGAAUAACUCUCGCACCCUUUAGUAGUUACUCUAAUACCAAAGUGUCUCCUUAAUGCAGUGUCAUGGUAUAUUGAGAUAAUCCUUCUUCUCAAUUCAGGAUCAUGACCUACAACAAUCUUUCCUUUUUUGUUCAAAUGUUGUUUCACCUAAUUAUAGUGAAGGUGAGAACUAAGAUUUUUUUGUAUAUCUUUUAUGAUGCCCUACACAGCUUCAUCAUAUUCUUAUGACUUCUGUAUCUCUCUUAUAAUGCUUGCAAAAAUAGUAAACACUUCUAUAAUAAAUAGUUCAUAACUAGCAGUUCUAGAUAAAGCAUUUGUAGCCACAUUUUCCUUUCCCUUUUGAUAUUCAAUUUCAUAAUCAAAACCCAACAAAUUAGCUAACCAUAGGUGUUGAGAAGGGUAGGAUAUCUUCUGUUUCAGGAGAUAUUUGAGACUAACAUGAUUAAUAUAAAUUUUAAACUUCCUACCCCACAAGUAGUGUCUCUAUUUGGAUAUUAUAUAUAAAAUAACUAACAUUUUCCUCUCAAGAUUGGACAAGGCUUGUUGUAUUUUCCCUAAAAAUUGCUAAUAUAAGCUAGAUGGUGACCUUCCUGUAUUAGUACAACACCUAUUCUUACUCUAGAAGCAUUUAUGUCAAUCACAAACUCCUUUUUGAAGUCUGGUAGAACAAGAACAAAAGGUUUAAUCAUUGUUACUUUCAACAGAUUAAAAGCUUCUUUUACUUCUGAAUUUCAUUAAAAAAUUUCCUUUCUUAGCAAUUGAGUCAGAGGUUGGCAAAUAGAUUCAUACCCCUUAACAAACUUUCUAUAGUAACUAGUAUGGCCCAAGAGGCCUCUUAACUGCUUGAUAGUCUUUGGUAUUGGCCAUUUUAACACUACUUUAAUCUUUUAUGGAUCUGUAGAGAUUCCCUUUUUGGUAAUGUUGUGCCCCAAGUAUUCCACUUUGUCACUACCAAAUAUACAUUUAUUGUUUUAGCCACUAACUCAUGUGUUCUUAGCACUUUUAACACUGUUUUUAUAUGUUCCAAAUCUCAGCCCUUGAUUUGCUGGAAAUCAAGAUGUCAUCAAAUAAAACCAACAAAAAUCUUCUAAGAUGAGGUAUGAAUAAGUCGUUCAUCAAACUUUAAAAUGUAGUUGGGGCACUAGUCAGCCCAAAACACAUGACCACAAACUUAUAAUAAUCAUUAUAAGUCCUAAAACUCUUUUGAAUACAUCUUCAAAAGCCAUUUUUAUCUAGUGAUAGCCACAUUUAAGAUCAAUCUUGAAGAACAACUUAGUUCCCACCAAUUCUUCCAGUGGUUCAUUAAUCAAAGGUAUUGGAAACUUGUCCUUGAUUGUUAGUUUGUUAAGAGCUCUGUAAUCCAUACAUGGUCUUAACGAGAUGUCUUUAUUAUUAAUUAGAACCAUAAGUGAUGUAAAAGGGUAGUACUAGGAUGAAUUAUCUUGUAUUCUCCAUUUAAAAUUCUUGCAUAUUGUUGUGCAAAUAUAGUCCCUUUAUUGGCUGCCUUAACUAAUAAUGGUCUAAUAGUUACUAAACUACAUUGCAACCUAUAAAAAAUUCUUGAAUUGAUGAAGUUCUGUGUGCUUCUAGAAUCAACCAUGAUAAAAAUAAGAUGUUUGUCUACCUUACCUGUGACCUUCAGGGUAUGAAAACUAGCAGUCCUUUCCAAAGCAUUGAUGGAUAUAUGGGGAGUAACCACUUUAGUGUUUGGCUCUAUUCUUUUAUUAUCACAUCCAUCAAUAAGGUAAAUGGAAUAAAGUCUUUUGUUCAUGCAUUUAUAACCAAGGACAAAUCAUUCAUCACACUAGAAACAUAGACCUUUUGCCUUUCUAUCUUUCCAUUCCUUAUUUUUUGAUGGCUUAGUAGGUUUCACAUAAGGAUUGAUAGUAUAAUUUAUAUUGGGAGGAGGUAAUAUGCCCACUUUAUGGGUGUUUUGGAGUAUUGUAUGUAGAUGUUGGAAGGUUUCUAUAAUUGGAUUGAGGGGAGUUUAUUUUUAUGUGGUUAAGUUAAUUUUAGGAUUGAGUAGAGAAGAGAGUAUUUGUUUGUAGUCUAGAUAUAUUGUAAGCUUGUUCAAGGGUUUCUGACUUAAACAUUUUGACUAGGUUUUUUUAUCUUAAUUUCCAGCCUACCUACAAAGAAUAAUAAUGCUUGUUUCUUAGAAAUUUCAGCUUUAUUUUAUAGUAUAUCAAAGUCUUGUAUAUAAGACUCUAAACUUACCAUUUGCCUCAUAUCCAUUAACUCUUAUAACAGUUCUUUCUGACAAUCAAACCUAGCACACAAUGCCUCCACAUAAUCAUUCCAAGUUAUCUCAUGAUUACUAUUACUUCUUAUCAGAUUUUAGUGCCAAUAUAAGGUUAUACCAUCCAAGUAAUACGGUAUUAAUUUCAACUUCCCAGACUCCUUUAUCUCUUCCACCUCAAAGAAUUGAUUGCACUUAUAAAGCUAUUUGUGUACAUCUUCUCCUUCAAACCCUGGAAAAUCUCGUAUGGGCUUGUGUAACUUGGGGUAACUAUACCCUCUUUCACAUGUCUAAUAAGUCUUGGCACCAGAGUUGACCUCCUAGAAAACUUAUUUGUCUUUGGUAGUGUUAGAUGUAAUUGUGGGUUAUUUUAAGGUCUGUAUAAGAGAGGUUUUCUAACAAGCUAACCCACUAAUAAGGUUUCUUAACUAUAUAAAUCCAGCUUCGUGUGAUGACCUGGUGUCCUCUAGUUUUCUAUUAUAAGAUUUCAGCAGCUGCAUCAUCAGUUUAUGUUUAUGUGCUUGUUACUUAUUAAUAGAUUCAAAUGAAUCCUUUAGUCUCUUAAUGUUUGGGGAUUGAGUGUCAGGCUUCAUUACUCAAUUCUGAAAAGCAAAAGAAGCUCUAAUACCAUUUGGAGCGAGCUUAAUUAAGAUCAUUCCUACUUGGAAUGAAUCCAAGUAAUUGGGAGCAAUUGAUAGAUCAAAAGGUAAUACUAGCAAAAGAAUAUGAGUAAACCUUCACCAUGUUGAGAGAGAAAAGAAAGAAAAGAAAGAAGAAGAAAAAUAAGAAGGAAGAGAGAGAGAGAGAGAGAGAGAAAUUCCUGUAAUUGUUAAAUUAUUUAUUCAUACAGAAUGUUUGUUAUAGAUAUAGCCGAAAAGACUAACAAUUAAUUAACAAACUCUUAGCUGGAGUUGCUACUAAAGUUAAUAGUGGUAAUAGUGGCCAUGUAGGCUAUUGAUAUUGUUUCUAUUAACAAAAAUAAAAUAAUGCAUUUUCUUAACUCCCAACAAUAACCAAACAUUAUGUUUCAAGACAUCCUAUUUAAAAACAACUAACAAUCAUUUUAUUCAAACCUCACUAGCCCUAAUUCCCUAAUUCUUCCUUUGCCUCAAGAAUGUUGAGCUGCAAUAAAAUUCGGCCUAAUUUUAUCAAUCUCAAUCAUAAUUGAGCUAAAAACAUCUUGAAUUUAUCCAAAAUUGAUACGCCCAAUACUCCUGCAUAUGAUACACCAAGUCAUCUUGUGCUAGCGUAGUAAAUAACAAAAACACGCACGAAUUCAAAUCCUUUUCAUCAUUCGCCGUCAUAUUUAAAGAUUGUGAAACACAGAAUUCCCUCAUUGAAGGGUGAAUUGGGGAUUUUCUUCUCAUGGAAAACCAACUGAGAAAAUUACUAUUGCUACUAGUAUUAUUUUUGUUAGUUGUUGUUGUUGAGGAGAGGAAUCAAUGGAGAGUGACGAAGUCAACUUGGCUGAGUGAGUCAUAGAAGAAAAGAGGGAAAUCAGGGCAAAAUAAGAAGGUAAUUGUGGCUAAUAGGUUGGAAUUUGGGUUUUAGAAAGUGUUAUUGUUGGUGAGGGUAGAAGGGGUGAGUUGGGUUACGCGGUCGAAUAAGAGACCGUCCAUGUCGCCGAGGGAAAUUGUGAUUCGGUGCAUCAAUACAAAUAAUAUAGGGCCUGGUAUUGUAGUUUUUUUUGUAAGGGAAGAUCGUUAAUGGCGAGAGAGGAGAUGGAGGAGAGGACUAAUAGGUAUUGGGAGGCACACUGGACUUUGGUUGAGAGAGCGAGUUAGAUAUGAUGUUGUUUUAACUAUUGGGUAACGUGUUCGGUUUGAGAGAAAAAAAAGAAGGGUAGGAAAGAGACGUUGUUAGGUUUUUACUUUUCAAUUGUUUAGAGAGAGAAAGAGAGGGAGACUGUGAAACAAUAAUUAAGAUGUUAAUAGUCUUAUUUUGGUGUGGUCUACGUAAGAUGUUUUGAUUUAUUUAUUUUUUAAAUUCUCCAUGUUAAUGUAGGGAGUAAGAUUCUAAAAUUGUUUGUAAAGAGACUUAAUUUUAAUUAACACACAAACUAGUUUGUGUUUAAAAGUAUCUUUUUUAUUAUUGAGAAAAAAUCAAUUAAAAAAACAAAUAUUCAUGCAUUCUUAUAAUUUAAAAUCUCAUUUUAUAAGGUAAAAAGUAAUCAAAACAAGCUAAAACAUUCACUUGUUAAACUUUUUCUCCAUUGAUGGACUUCUUGUAAAACUUUGUCACUAGUUAUUGAAAUUUCCUCUAGAUUUUUUUUUAAGUGUAAAACUUGACGGUGUAAAAUGGACAACAAUGACUAUGAUUGUAACUUAAUUUGCUGCCAAAUCUACUCAAUAUCAAACCCAUCAAUCAAAUGUGAUUAAAAAGCAAUUUAAAGACAAGUAGAUUUAUUGAAGAGAAGAUAUGUUUACAGGCUGUGUGUGCUAUUUCAAAUAAAAAGGGUGAUGGUGCUAGCCAUAGUUGUGGGUUUGUAGAUUUUAGAAGAAAAUGAUGAGUGAGGUUUAAUAGUUGAUGUUGUUGAGGUUUUAGGUUCUUUUCUCUUUAUGUAAUUCCAAAAACCAAAGUAAAUAUGAGACUUUCACUAAUUUCUUCAUAAUCCCUCAUUUCACUCCCCGCUCUAUUAAAAGCUCGGGAUUCCUACCUUCACAACUUGAACUCUCUAUUAACCUUAUCUUAAAACCCUCAUUUUUCUAGGAUCCUAAUCCAAACACUAAUUUUGCCAAAAAAUCAUUAUUUUUCCUGGAAAAUCCACAUUAGCCUUAUAAUAUUUGAUUUUGAUAGAAACUCAUGUCAUAUAAGUCCUCCCAAAUCACAAAAACGAUCCAUAAUCUAUCAAAUGCCACAAUAACCCAAUCUUAGAAUCUCCACCUUCCCACCUUCUUAAUCCAUUGAAAGAUACAAUUCAAUGACGAUAUUGAUUGUUUUAAUUCUUCUUAAUCCAUUGAAAGAUACAAUUCAAUGACGAUAUUGAUUGUUUUAAUUCAUUGAUUGAGAAAUACCUAGUUCCUUGUCUUAAUGUUAUGAAUAUAAUUUUAAGUGAAUUAAUUAAGAAAAGUAUGAUAUGUGAAUUUGAUAACAAAGUUGUAAUACUUAAUAUGAGGGCUUUUUAAUCAUUAAUUGGAAUAUAAAGACAAUCUUGUAAGUAAUCCGAACUUUUUUGUUGGCUUUUUUUCCGCUUAUGUCAGUGAGGAUGUAAAGUUUUAUACAACUUUACAAAUUAUUUUGACUAUGAAUAUAAACUGUAAUCUUCAAAAAAAUGAAACAAAGUGAAAAAAACAAGUAUAUAAAAGGAUGAGGGUAAUUUUCCUUUUUAUUAAUUAAAUAUCUUAAUUACUUCAUUCAUUCAUUAAUUAUAUAAUCUAGCUUAAUUAUCUAUGAAUCUUAUUGAAUCUCUUAUGUUAUUGAAAAUUUACUAUGUUAAUUUGGAUAACACCACCUUUUUCUUUCAAGUGAUCAUGAAUAUAUGUACAAUAUUUUUUUUUCAACAAAACUAAUAGGAAAUACCAAUAAAAAGUGAAACAUUGUACAAAAGCAGUUGUUCCUCCAACAAGAUGUUAUUUUAAGUAAAGGAAGAGCAAUAUCAUAAUAUUCUAGCGCUUGGACAUUAUGAGGCACUUGGCUAAACUAAUACAUGGACCAUCCUCUUCCCUGAUCUGCAAGAUGUCAAAAACAGUAGAAGCUGAGUCCAAAGUGGCAGAAUCCAGUGCUAUCUCAUUGAUAAGCUCUAAACAGAAUGACUCUAUACCCAGCAAGCUCCAUUCCCGAGAUUUAAUCCAGCUUAAUGCCUCAACUGCAAAAGCUUCCAUAGUUUCAGGACUUGCCACUGAAUUAAAAAACAUAUAGCCUUUGCAGCAACGAAAUUGCCAGACGAGUCUCGUACCACAUAGCCAAAACCACCAUUUCUGGAGCCCUUGUGCCAAUUUGCGUCAACAUUACAUUUUAAAAGCCCAAACUCAGGAACUUGAUUCAUUGCAUGUGAGGGAGCCGAGAAGGAAUGAUGAAAAUCCGACUCCAAUGCCACUGAGUAUUCCAAAAACUGUGCAUUGGCUAACUCCAGUACUCCACUUUUGAUAACGGAUAAGGCUGAACUCCUCUUAAAACCAACUCAUUCCUCUGCUUCCAAAUUCUCCAAUAAAAAUGGUUUGAUCAUUAUGAAAGGGAUCAUAAGAAACAACAUCAAUACCAUUGUACCAAAGCAACUUCCCGGCAUGUGCAGCAACAUUGCUAAGACAAUAGCAUUCUGUACCAAACAGAAGAGUAUCAUUCCGUUCUCUAGCCUCAGAACAAUAUAUAUCCACGGAUAAACGAUCCUUUACACACUACCUUAAAUUGACUUUCAUAUUGUUGUCCUUGCCUAAUCUUUGACAAUUUGGCUUACAAACGAAUCCGAAAAAGAGCAAGCCGAAUCUGUAUUUUUUUUUCUUUCCUGACAGGAGCUGGAGGGAGAAGAAGCCGUUGCAUUGUGAAGGGAUUACGUACAUAUAUAAUGAGUAUCCGUGUAAAGCAUACAAUACUGUGCUUUGCUCGGCAAAAUAAUAAAUCAUUGCAUGAAGCCGCAAUAGAAACAGAUUCCCUUUCAUCUGGAAGGAAUUCUAAUGGGGAGUUUAAAUAUAUAUCUUUUGUACCAGUUAUAGUAAAAAGCUUUUUUUUAAUCUCUACUAGUAAUAAAGAGAAUAGGAGGAAUUUGACAUGCAGCAUGAUGAUAUAACUGGUGGUUUUGUUGCUGACAUUGAUAUAAAUUUCUCAGCAAAAUAGGGAGUAGAAAUUAGUGACCACCACCUUUAAGCCACGGGCAGAUUUUGCGGUUGGAAGUCGAUGUAGAGUGAAACCAACAGAUUGCUAAAUCUCUAGUUGUUCUUGAUUAUGAACUAGCCUUUUGCUUUUUCAUUGCUGCUGCUUCUGCUGAUUUAUCUUCCGUUUGCAAGGUCUCCAGCCAUUAGGGUUUUUCUUCGGUACUCAGUGUUAUGACAGGGCGCAAGGAGAAGGUCUCUUUUCUUUUUAUCAAGUAAGAUAAAGGAUACUUAAAUUGCAUGUAUACAAGGAUUCUUUUAUAGAAUGAAAUUCCCUAUCAGCUUACUUGAACACAGCUUGUGAAAUGUGACAAGUUUGCUUAUUUGAGAUUUCUUCUGUUUACCUACAGAAUAAUGAAUUGAAAGAAUACAUUAUUAUUAUCGCAAGAAAAAAGAUUACAUAUUUCCAACAGAACUCUCUAACUUGUAUUUACUUAUAGUAACCAAGAAUAUAAGAAUUAAAGAAUUUGAGAACUACAAUACAUAUUUCCAACAGAACUCACUAACUUGUAUUUACUUACUUAUUAUAGUAACCAAGAAUAUAAGAAUUAAAGAAUUUGAGAACUACCCUCCUAUGAUAGACCUUGUAAACCAACCAAAAAAAAGAAACAAAACAUUAUUUCUUGCACAUACAAAAAAUAUACGACACUCUCUACUCAGUCGUCGGUACUUUGGCUCCAUCAUCAGCAGGAGCAGCAGCUAGCUCUGGCUUAAUCUCCUCAAGUUGCUGAACAACUUCUUCGGCUUCAGGACGAGCAGUUGGUGUGGGAUCAACACAAUGCAGAGCUAAUUUCAAUGUGUUAAGUAACUCAUCACCUAUAGUUUGUGAAUCCCUCACGAGCUCUAAAUCAAAGAUUUCAUUAGUCCACUCCUCCUUCACAAUGGAUGCAACCCAUUGAGGCAAAUCCAUGCCAUUCAUUGGUUCACCUGGUGAUUUCCCGGUCAGAAGCUCCAAAAUGAUCACUCCAAGGCUGUAGACAUCAGUCUUUGUGUUGGCAUUCUUGAGUUUUGAGAGCUCUGGUGCACGAUAGCCAAGUGUUCCAACAGUGGAAAUCACGGUGGUGUUGGCAGUAGUAGUCAUGAGCCUGGAGAGGCCAAAGUCCGCAAUGUGAGCAUUAGUUUGCUCGUCGAGUAAUAUGUUGCUUGAUGUGAGAUUCCCAUGAAUGAUCUCCUGCUGGGUGUGGAGAUGGUUUAGUCCACGCGCAACACCAAUGGCUAUGUUCAUCCUUGUUGGCCAAUCGACAGCGAUUUCAGGCCCACGAGCUGCAAACAAAUGAUUUUAAACCAUAAUUGCUCCUGAUGGUUAGGAAUUUGCAUAGCAUGACUAGGCAGUUGUUACUCAAAAUUAUCAAAAAGCAGAAACAGAACAAUAUCAAAUUCAUCACUCAAAGUUUUAUCUUUCUAUGUCCAACUAUUUAUGUAGAACACAAUCAUCAUUAACUCUCUCUUCUUUUGGGAUAUUCAAGGAAGCACACAGUUAUGAAUGGAUUAUGAGUCUGAACAGGAUCAUAAUUUCUUUUUCAUUCAAUAAGCUUCCAAUGCUUAAAUCUUGUUAAUUAGAAUGUAUUGCAAAUGUUUUUAACACCUUCAGGGUGGAGUCUCAUGUGACUUAAAAUUUCCAGCUAUUAAAUUUUUCAUUUCAUCCUUGAUCUUUAAUUCCUUGCAAUCAAUGGUCAUCAAUCCAUCAAAGCAUAAAAGACAGUUCUUACUCAAAAAUCAUCUUUUUACACCAAAACUAUGCAAUACAAGUUCAAUGCUAUCAUCAAGAAUCUGUUUUGGUUAUUCAGAGUUUAUGAAAGCAAGCUAUUAUAAAUGAAUAAUUACGAGCAGACAGAAUUUGAUAUAUGUAUGCACUGAUACAAUUGGUGGAAUCAACUUACCAUGGAGGUAGGAUGCAAGACUCCCUAUGGGCAUAUAGUCAAAAACAAGAAGCUUCUCUCCCUUGGGACCCAAAUAAUAGGCCCUCAGUGCUAAGAGAUUCGGGUGCCGAAUCUUACCGAGAGCAGCAGCCUCUGUUUCAAACUCCAUCUGCCCCUUUGUAGUCUUCUCCCUCAACCUUUUCACUGCAACUUGACUGCCAUCCUCUAAUGUUGCCUUGUAAGCUGUUCCAUAACUACUCUUCCCCAUUAUCUCCGCAGUUGCACACAACAAAUCAUCUGCUGUAAACACAAAUUGCCCAUCAAAGUGGACUAAUUUCCCACCCAUUUCACCUCCAGAUUCAACUUCAGGACCUGCCACAGCACCUGUCUUCUCACUUUCCCCUGGGAGCCCCCGCAUAGUAGUUUUACCAUGCUUUCCUUUUGAAGCAGACCUUUUCUUCAUCAAACAACAUAGCAGAAUGAAGCAGAGAAGAAGCAGCACAGCUAAGAGGACACCAGCUGCUAUGAGAAUAAUAUCUUUAGUGCUAAAUUUCCGGCGAUGACGUUUUGGUUCUUCUUUUGUUGGAGUUGGAAGAACUAUAGGUGGGGGUGAAAGACAUGGGGUUGAAAAGCUGUAGCCACAUAGCUGAAGAUUUCCCACAAAAGAGCUUGAAUUGAACUUCUUAGCAAGGGAAGAGGGAACAGAACCAGAAAGAUUGUUAUAAGAAACAUUGAAGUAAGUGAGAGUGGCUAGGCGAACAAGAGAAGCUGGAAUUUCUCCACUAAAAUUAUUUUGGGCUAAAUCAAGCUGGUUGACACUGGAAAUGUUUCCAAUAGAAGCUGGGAUGGGGCCUAUGAACUGAUUAUUUUUCAGGUUUAGCACUGAGAGGUUGUGUAAUCUAUCAAAACCAUCUGGGAUCUGGUUGUCGAGACGGUUUCCCUCUAGAUUCAGUGAGGCUAAAGAGGUGAGAUUGGAGAGGCUAGAUGGAAUACUUCCAUUGAAAGCAUUGUUCGAAAAAUCAAGCUUUUGAAGCCUUGAGAGACUCCCCAUUUCAUUGGGUAUGGCCCCGGAAAGCUUGUUAUGACUAAGAGAAAUCUCUUGAAGUAAAGCCAACUUGUUAAGACUAACAGGAAUAGUUCCAGAAAUGAGGUUAUGAUCAAGGAUCAAGAACUGAAGGUGAUAAGAAUAGUUUCCUUUUCUCCCCCAAGUAUCCGGGAUUGACCCAGAGAGGUAGUUGUGUUGGAGAGCAAGAACUAUGAGAGAAGGGGACUGAGUAAGACUAACUGGGAUCGACCCCAUUAAUGAAUUAAAGCUCAGAUUAAGUCUAUAUAACCUUGUAGAAUUCGCAAGACUAGGAGGAAUUGCGCCAGUGAGAGAAUUGUUACUUACAUCAAGAGUCAGGAGAACAGGACAGUUACCAAUGGAAGGAGGGAUAGAACCCGAAAGUCGGUUGUUGAAGAGGUAAACCCCUCUAAGAUUGUGAAGCAAACCAAGAGACCUAGGGACAGUACCACCAAGUACAUUGUCAUGCAAACUAAUCUUUCUGAGUGCUUGAAGCUGGCCAAUCUUCUCAGAGAUUCUGCCACCUAGUCCCUUCCAAGGAAGCUGGAUAGCAAUAACUUGUCCUUUGACACAUUUGAUUCCUGCCCACCGACCAGAGCAAGCUCCAUAUCCACUACCAUUCCAGCUUCGUAAAAACCCUUUGAAGUCGACUAGUUCAUUCCUUAUAGCUCGAAGAGCUUGAUAAUCUGCUCGGGUGACCAUUACACCAUCCCAUUUUUGGCUUGAAGCAAAUUGGGGCAAAAAAACCAGUAGAAACAAGCACAAGUGUGUGUAAAGAAAGUACUUGUCGCGGAAGUGACAAGUAUUUUCCAUGAACAAGUUCAAGAAACAAAAAAAAAAGUUGAAAGAACUGAAGAGAGUUUCUAAGAAUGUCCGUGCUCUCCUCUCCUGAACAAUGAGGGGAAAGUUUGGUCUGUUAGGGAGCAAUGUGAGGGAGGAGAUAAGGGAGAUACAAAAGGAGGCAGAGUUAAGGUCCUUCACUGUUUUGGCGUUAGUUUCUCCUGCUUCUAACGGCUAGUUUUCCUCGUAUUGUAUACAAUAUGUUUCAUGAGCUGAACCAGUCUUCUUCCCUGACCGGGACCCUUCACUUACAACGGCUACAUUUCUUGGUCCAGGGGGACAUAACACACAUGCUUUUACUCUUGGUCAAAAUCACAAAUUUGCCACUGUAAACUAGCAUCUGGCCUCGAGGCAAUUUUUGGUAGAGCAAGGCCCCUUUGGCAUUGCCGCUAGUUUUCUCCUGCUUUUAACUAUAUUUUAAAAAAAUUCUAAUUUUUUUUAGUUUAAAAUCAAUUUAUUUUAGUAUUUUUACUUUUUAGAUUGUUUUGAGAUGAUAAUGAUAAAAAUAAAUUAUAAAAAAUAAAAAAUAAAAAAUAUUAUUUUAAUAUAUUUCCAAACAAAAAAUACUUUUAAAAAAUUCUUAAAUUCAUUUCCAACUACCUUAAUUAUUUGUAAAUCAUGAGAACACUCAGUUUUAUGUGUCCUUUUUACUAGGUUAAAAUCAUGAAACUCAAGCUUUUGUCUGCAUGCGGCCCUCUGGAGUCUGGACACAUUGCUCAAGCGAUCAACAGACAGGUUUGCUCUUUGUUAUCACCAAACUUGGGGGCAUCGCUCCAGAGUCUAGGCCUCUUGAUUGCAUUGAUGGAUAUUUUUGGACUAAAUAAUUGAUUACUUGUUAUAAAAUUGCAUUUUCAGCUUUAGAAAAAUAUAUAAAUCCGCGGCCACAAGCCACACUGCACUUCCCGUGAAUGAAAACCUUGUUAAGUCUUGAAUCAAUAGUUGUACCGUCACAUUUCAAAAUUUAAGCCUGGCAUAAAAGCCCACUGAGAUGAGACUUAAACUCCACCACCAAUUUCCAAGCGGCAAAGGAGAACUGAAUUUAAUCGUUGAGAAUAGAGCCAUGAACCAUAGUAGGUGUAGGGCAUCUUCCUCCAUGUGACUGCAGACUUGAGAGUUAUGGGUUUAGAAAGGAGCAUGAGAUAUGGGUCUCUGACUUGCAGACCCAGGAAUCCAACUUGAGAUUUGCUAGGUUUAAAUUACAAUGCUGAAGCAAAAACCAACAGCAAUAACCCUUUUUAAACUUCAGAAAAUCAAAAUGAAACGAACAAUCAUGCAAGCAUGCUUUCUCAACAAAUAAAAAAAAAAAACUUGCUGCAUCACCUGCAUGCAGACAGCAGGCUUCUUGAGCACAGCAAAAUUGAUACAUUCAACUGUAACAAAAGAGCAGGGUGACUAAUAGAGAAAAGAAGGAUCGAUAAGGAUCAAGAUCAUCUUGCGGGACCACUUCUCCACCAAAAAAACUGGUUAUACGUAUCUGAAUUAAAUUUAGAUUCCAAUAUAAUUAAGCACAAGGCAUAGUCACAAUCACCACACUGAAAAGAAAAGCCCCAUGCAAUUCAGAUCGUGCUCAAAUGAGUUUGCAGUGAGUUUACGAGAAUUUUUGUCAUCCGUUCUCCUCAGUAACUUCAUUCGACAACAUGGAGAGUAUAGCCUGUAAAGAAGGUUAUUAAUGAAGCAAAAGGAACAAGCAAACAUCAUCAUACAAGAAGUCUGCAAAACCCAUCCCUCAUUGGCAAAAAUUAUAGCUAGUGGUUCACACAAUAUGGAUCCAUUGAAGCCUAAGAAGACAGGUUGCAUGCUUGCAAAAAUAAGGAGCAGUGCUAUUCUUCAAGAAUCCAUGGAAAGGAUGUUAACUUUUAAGUCAAUAUUGACUAGUUGUAAGUUUAAUAUACCCACCAAUCCCACUGUCAAGCUGCUACACACACAUAGACCUCAUAGAUACCCCGGGCUCAAACCUAGAUCGUAAUACCCACUAAAUUAGGCAAUGUAUGGUCAGAUCAAUCAACCUGGCCAUUGCAUAUAGCUGGAGCUCAAUCAACAAGCAAGCACACCUGCAAACUAGAGUAAAUAAAGCACAGCAAAAUCAGAAGAACACACUUCCAAGACAGCAAUAAAUCAGAUGGCAAGCAGCAAAUAGCCUGUUUCAGAUUAUACUAUCAACAUGACGCAAGUUCCGUUACAUUGAUCUCAAAAAAGGAUAAAGAGGAAAGUAGUGUAUUUAGACCCCAUCCUAAGAUCGACAAAAUCACAAGUUUAACAUAGAAUUGAUCCAUUUAAGCCUACAAUUAUUUGCAUCUAAGGGAAUGCCAAAUAGAGAAUAGCAGGUGCAGGUUAGCGAGCAACGAAUCCAAAGGAGACCACCGUAUCUAAGUACGCCCUGAAUUGCAGGACUGCUACAGCACUUGAUGCAAUUUCCCCAAAUCCUGAAUAUUUGAUUGACCAUGCAUUCCAAUUAGACUAUCUAGAAAGUUCAUCAGCAAUCCCAGCCAUUGGACUCUGCCGGUAAGAUCACAACUAUCUCCUAGCCGUGCAUGACCAGGAAGAUCCCAUGCAUCUGUCUACAACGUACAUCAAAUAUGAACCAUCCAAUCACUUAUAGACAAGAUGCAAAUUCAGUAAUCUUCAAAUCAAACUAAUUACAGCCCAAUCAUAUGAAUUGCAUCCUAAAAAAAUGAAGGAAGGAAAGAAUUUAUAGAUCCGUUUCCACAAUUACAAAAUCCAAAAAAAAGAAGACAAUUUUAACCAUUAUUCAUAUAAAUUCUGUAUUUAUUUCAUCUAUCAAUUUAACCAAUCCUCAAACACGGGCGGCUGCCACAAGAGGCGCCGCAGAGGAAACAACAUUGGAGGCAGCGCUGCCGAGGAAGGAAGACAAGAAGCCAGUGUUUGCAUUUUCUGGAACGUCGUCCAAGAAAAGAUCCUCAGGAACACGAAAAGCACCAUGAGCACAAACGAUCCCAACACCGACCAAAAGCGCCGAUAUUAUCACAGAUCCGACACUAGUUAGAAAAACCACGAAAACACUCAAUGCAAUCAGAAUCCCGAGCGUUUCACGGUCACUAUAAGUCCGGCCGAAGAGGACCAAAGGCUGAUCCGAAGCGCGGAAGAGAUACAAGAAAAGCCAAGAACAGAGCAGGCCGAGGAGGAGGAGGAGAGAGAAAGGGUGAGAAAGGAGGGAAAAUGCGAGGAUUACGGAAAUAGCGGUAAGAUAGUUGAUGCGGAAGUAGGAGUAGUUUUUACGGAUGCGAGUUGUGGCUUCGGAUAUGGAUUCAGGUUUAGAGAAAGCGGAUCGGUCGAUUAGUUCGGAAAAGGGGCGGCGUUGGGCGAAACCGUUGCGGACGGAUUCGGUAAUGUUGUUGAGGAAUGCGCGGAGGGCGUGUGGAGGGAGAGGUGGUUGGGAGGCGGCAGCGGCGGGUGGUUGUUGCUGGUUUGUGAUCGGGAGGACUGGCGGAGACUGGGAUGACAUUGUGUAGAUUUGUUUUUUUAUUUGGGGAGGGGGAAGGGAAUUUAGGGAGGGGUAAUUUAACGGAUAGGUGAAAAGAAAGGGAGUUAGAUAUUUUAUUUUAUUUUACGGUGAUUGCUUGCUUUCCUUCUUUAUUACGGUUCAGCACCGACACGGACCUAAGACCUUCCUUCCUGUCAAUUCACUAAUAAGAAGUUGACAUAUCAGCUUUCUUGGUAUGUGCUUAGUUUCCGGGCUCUUUCUGCUGGAAGGAAGGGUUAUAUUAGGGAAGCCCAAUGGGCUUGGAUUUAGGUCUAACUUGACCCGGGUAUUACGGGGAACUUGGGGUCAUACAAGAUAUUUACAAAAUAAUCAGGCUUACAUUAUCCUUACCUAGAAUUUGUAAUUCCUAAUGUAGCAUGGGGGAGUAGUUGAACUUAGUUGUUUGGUUUAAAGUCGCUAGAAAACUCGAGUGUACUAGUUUUAUUAGAAAUUAAAAGGAUAAGAGAUUGAUUGUGGUUAGAGAAUGUAUUAACACUCUUAACACACCCUACUUGAGAUAAACUAUAUUACGUGGUUUGAAUGUGGUUUAAUGGUUUUGAUGGGUUUCUAACUUACUAUCUAUCUAUGAUUUAAGAUUGAGGUUUAUUUGUAUGAAUAAAUCCGGUGUUAAGAAUUUAUUAUGGACUCGUAUACCCAAAUAAAUUUUUAUAAAAAAAAUUUUCUGUAAUUCAUAUAUUGCGGUGAAAAAUACUCUUAAUUAAAAUUGAUGAAUAUUUAAAAUAAAUCUGAGAAUUUUUUGGUCAAAUCUUGAUAUUUAAAUAUCAACCUUAAUUGUGAGUCCAACAUUUAUACAAGAAUAUUGACUACUAAUUCUCACAAAUUAAAAUUUUAGUUAUUAUUGGAAUAUUGAUCAAAUUCUCAUAGAUUCAAUAAACUGAUUAUUAAAUCUAAAAUGCAUGCUAAAAAAAAAUUAAACAUACCAUAUAUUUUAUUUUACGAGAUAUGAUUUUGUAUUUUUUUAAGAGACUUAGUUGUAUGUAACACGCAGAAAGAUAUUAUUUUUUAUUAUUUUUUUUGUAUUUUUGUAAGACCAUAUUUGGCCAAAAAAAACAUUUUUUCUUGAAAUGAAAACUACACAAAACAACCCUUAAGGGUGUUUGUCAAAUAAACCCUUAAACCAAAUAAACCUUAACAAAAAAGACAGCAAACCAAACAGGGCCUAAGGACGACAUGGUUUUGACCUGACUAGAUUGACCCGAAAACAAACCAAAACAAAGACUCAAAACCAAACCAAAACAAAGACCCAAAACCAAAACAGAUUAAACAUAACAAAAACAUGAAAACUCAAAAUCUUUCAAACAAAAUGGAUCGAACAUGAAAAAAUAAAGAACACGAAGAACAUUUAAGUGUGAACCCAACAAAUUUGAGUGUCUUUUACAAGUUGAUAUUUGGUCUCUGAUUUGUUCAAUAGGACCCCUAGAUGACCACCAAACUUUUAAUUUUAUUCAAUUUGACCCUUGAUUUCACUGAUUUCAGUCCUCGAAGUCGCGUGCCUUUUGCAAGUUGGCCCUUGGUUUAUAAAUUGUUCAAUUAAGUCCCUAAUUGUCUAUCAGACUUUAAUUUUUAUGCAAUUAAGCCCUUGAUUUGACCAAUUAAACUUUUCAAAGUCCAAUUUCAGUUCCCAAACUUCUAUUUGUUUCAAUUAACAUCCAAAUUGACUCUAAAAGUUGAUUUUCCUUGCGAUUAAGUCCUCAAUAAAUUUAAUUAAAUCUUCCAAAAUUUCAAUUGAGUCCUUAAACAUCCAAAUAAAAAUAUUUUUCAUCAAUGAGAUCUUUUGUCAAUAAAAAUUGAGUUGCUAAUUUUGUCAAAUUUGUAUAUUUUGGUCUCCUAACUUUUUACUUGUCAUUUUGGUCCUUCACCAUCAAUUUGAGCAGUCUUUUAGGCUUUCUUCAUGUGUACUCUCUUAUAUUUUUUUUGAAUUUUUUUUUGCUGUAGGGUAAAAAAAUAGGUAACAACACCUAAUUUAGUCAAAGUCGCUAAAACUUUGCACAUGCUCUCUCUUAAGACACCUGAAAUCCAAAAUCAAAAUUCAAAUCAUUAAAACAAAACAAAAAUUCAAUUUGAACCCUAAUUCGAAAAGGAAAAAAUAAAAAAUCACCACUAAUUUUUGUGGACUUCCCUAUGCAGCCUCUUCUUUUUUGAUGUGGCCUUGCCUUUUUUUUCUUUAGUUUGGUCAUCUUUUUUGGAAGCAUUUGAAAAUGCGGGCUAACUUGUUUUUCUAAAAAUUAAAUUUUUUUGUUAAAAAUUAAAAAAUUUUAUAUGUUUUGGAUCGUUUUGAUGCGCUGAUUUUAAAAAUAAUUUUUUAAAAAUAAAAAAAUAUCAUUUUAAUAUAUUUUAGCAUGAAAAGUUAGCCAGAGAUGAAUAUACGGGAGUUCAGAUGUAAAAAGAAAAGGAAAAAAACACAAGCAAGAUAUUUAAACAAUAAUAAGUAAAAAGUAAAUCAAAACAAGGCUUACAUAAUUCUGACCCAGAAUUUUUAAUUCCCAAUUCAGUCAAAGCCGCUAAAACUCCAUGUUUUCUCCCCACACUCAAAUUUCAAAAUUAAAAUUUAAAAUCAUUAAAACAAAACAAAAUUAAAUUUGAAACCCUAAUUUGAAAAGGCAAAAAAACAAAAAAAUCACCAUUGAUUUUUAUGGACUUCCUUAUGCAACCUCUUCUUUUUUUGUGUGGCCUCGCUUCUCUUUCUUCAGUCUAGUCGCCUCCCUCGUCCCUGUCAUGUUCUUUUGGUUUAGUAAAGGCAGAGGUUAAUAGAUGUGAGUUCAGAAGGAUAAGCCACAUCUCCCAUGAAAAUUAAGGAGGAGGAGAAGUACGGUGCUUUCCAUCCCUUUUAGUAUUUUUGUUAAUGUGAUCUUACCAUUCGUCUGCUUUUAGUUAAUCCGAUUACAAGUCAUUGAACAUAUUUUCUAAUAUUUUUGUUUUAUUGUAUCCAACAGCUUAAAACAAGAGAAGAAAUGUGAUACAAAGAUGGCCAGAACAUAGAAUAGAAACAAACAAGAAUAGUUCAUGCUCGCCACUCUAAAAUGCAAAAUCAUUGAAAUAAAGAUACAAAUUUACUCACCAAUUUAGAAAUACAGAGUUAUGAAAUAAAAGUACCACUCGCAAGGAGAUGUAGAACUAAAUAGGGUGUCAAAAAGGGCAAACAAAAAACUUUUCAAUUCAAAUUCUACAAAAGAUGCUUAAUAUAUGAUUUGAAUAUUCAUUAUAUACUUGGAAUAAUCUUCUAAGUCUAAAGAUAAACUAAAAUGACAUAAUUGCGUUCAGAAUAAAUGAUUUUUACAUAAAACUAGAUAAAUAAUACUUAGCACACAUUUUUUACUUAUUAAAAACAAACAAAUACAUGGAAAGCUUAAAAAAUAAAACAAUCACAACUCCUACAUAAUUUUAAUAUAUGCAUGAUUGGAUAAUAUAAAAAGAUCACGUUUUGAACUUUAAAAUCACAAAAUAGACUUAUUUUCCCAUGCAAUGAAUCAAAGUUGAUUCAUAGGCUGAUAAUAAACAACAUCAAGAACUUCAUUCAUCCAUCUACAUUACCAAACCAAACUCAUGUAGCUCAACAUCAAUAGGAUCAUUAGAGAACACUCUCAUGUUCAAAAGGUGCAUGCAGUUAGAAAACCAAUAUUAGGCUAAAUCAUGCAAUAAGCCCCUAGCAAUUUGGUUUAGAAUAUGCUCAGACCAUUACCUUAGGCUUACAAUGCUAACUCCUCUAGCUCCAUUGAGAAGUCUUUACCAUCUGGAAGAUGGGAUUGUAGAGAGACCAACAGAAAUAGUUGUUCGGAAUUUUAGAAAGGAUGAGCAUCAUACAAACAGAAAGGAUGCAUGUAAACAAGCGGGUGCCAAGGCACUUUGAAUUACAGUUUUUGAUUCACGUAUUAUCAUUUUAAACUGCCUGAACAAGAAUCCAUAACCAGUUUAAGAUCGUGGAGAUGCAAAGUCUAAUAAAGCAAUGCUGAGCAUGUCAAAGAACAUUCAUUGGUGAUUAAACGGUUAUUUAGACUAAGAUUUCACGCAAACAUAUUGUUUUCCCAUAAAAGAGGCACAGUUUAAAAGCUUUCACGUUCUAGAUAUCAUAAGCCUAGACAAAAACAGAAAUAUUCUACUUAAUCAAGUUUCUACAAUAGUAAAACACCACAGACACAUCUGUCUGAACGCAUGGUGUCAAGUCUGAGAGCAACUCAGGUGAAAAGCUGGAUUUAGAAGGUGGAACCAUUCCAUCCAAAGUGGGAUCCCUGCAAAAUACAGCAAGCAAAAAAGCAUUAUUAGUGGCAGAAAAAACCAUAAAAUGGCAGCCAAUUUGAACAUAACCUGAGAAUAAGUUGAAUCCUCCAGGAAUUCAAUAACAGUGCUCACAGUUUAAAAACAGUAAGUGUUUAUUUACAUGAUCUACUGCUGGUGUAAAGCAUGCAAACACUGUGCAUAUUCUUGGCUUUGAUGGGCCUAAACAAACAGGAAGAAUGCAAUGAGAAGAAAUGUGUGCAUGGAAAUGAUCUAUCUUCUUGACAAUUAAAUGUUGAGAUGGCUUGCCUUGGAAUCAAAAAAUUUGAGGAAGAACCGUGACUUGGGCACCGACAGCUUCGACUCAAGAAUGGUAGCAAUUGCAGAACUCAGUUUCUUGUUCACAUCACCGCUAAGGCCACCAACAGAUACCAACUCACCAUAAGCUGCUGGCUGCUCAGUUCCUCCAAAUGCAAUUGGUACUGAGCCCUUCAACACAAUCAUCACAUACUGCACAAUCACACACAUAAAAUAGUUAACAGACACAUCCAGUGAGCAAAAUAUGGUAUCGAUCAAUGCAUAUUAUGAGCAAACUGUGGUAUCAAUCAAUGCAAAUAUGCAACUUCCUUCUAGGUUGUAAAAAUUUGAAAAAUAACAGACAUAAAAGCACAAAAUAUUGAAACAAGGAGGUUUGCAGGUGUAGGUGUACAAAACACAAUUCCCGUCCACUAUAGAGAUAAACUAGCAAAGAACAUGCAAACAGAGAUAAAAUCCAUUUCUUCUUUCAUGGCCAUAUAAGUGAUACUAGAAUCAACUGUAUUAUAAGCUACACAAGACACUGCAACCAAAUCACACUUUGACCAUCAUAGUUUCCGAGGGAACUCUUUAAAAGAGACACCUCCCAGGAAUUAAAAAGAAAAAACCCAUUGUACAGUCCAUUGUGAACACAAGAACAACUAGAUAGUAAAAACAUAAACUUAUCCAGUUCAAAAUCAAAUGAUAAACAGCCCAAUCAUAUCAAACGAUUCUAGAACCAUACCACAUCAAGAACUCAAGUAUCCAGAAAUUCUUUCCGAUGUAGUUGAUAGAAACUAUUUACAGUUAUUACUCUAUCCUUGUCACCUUGAAAAUGAGCAUACAAAUACACUUCACAGUAACCAAGAAACUUACCUCCAUUCCCCCUCCAUCAUUACAAAAACUAUUUACAAUUAUUAGUACUAACAAGCUAAAACAAUUUUAAUACCAGCUAGAACACACAUUAAUCAAACCCUAAAAACCCACUAUAAAACUUGUAGCAGGCUAAUUGUUUAAAUAGUUCAAAAUCUUUCUAUAUGCACCGAGGAACCCACAAAUAAUUUUAAUAGCCUGCAACAUUUUAACAUUUUAUCCAUAUUUCAACAAUCAAGUCCAAAAACUAGCAUGUAUUUACAAGAAUCCGAGGCAAAUGGAAAAAGAAAAUCUUACGGACUCAGGUUUGCCGAUGAUUUUGGCCACUUGAGAAGAGGCUUCAGAGAGGAUGGCGGAUGUGUUGACGCCAUCGAGAUUAACGUUGGUUGAAAUGUUCAAGCAAGGCAUUUUCUCUGUUGAUAACACACUUGUUCUGUUUGCUACUAGCCUACAUAUAUAUACCUCAGCUCAGCUCAGCUGCCUUCUUCACUGGAUUGGAUGUAUUAUUUUUUAAAAUAUUUUUUAUUUAGAAAUAUAUAAAAAUAUUAUAUAUUUUUUUAUAUUUUAAAAUCUAUUUUUAAUAUAAAUACAUUAAAAUAAUUUAAAAUUUAAAAAAUAAUUUAAAAAUAAUUAAAUUUUUUAAAAAAACACAACUUAUCAUGUAAACAAAAGGUGCCAAGAAAGAAAAUAUUUCUAUAAAAUAGUGAAAUAGUUAAUCUGUAUUUAUUCAUUACUUAUUCAUUCAUGUUAAAAAUUAUAAAGUCUAAUUCUUAGUUAAUUUAAUAUUGAAAGAUAAGAUUGAAAAUAAAAAUCAACUAAAAAAAACUCAAGUCAACCAGUUUAACCUGCAACCCGGGUUAUAAAACUGUGGUAACCCCAUAAAAAACAAAUAAAAAUCAAUUUAAUUAUGAAACUCAAUUACCAAUUCACCCAAUAUUGAAUGAUUAAAUUGAAAAUAAAAUCAAAUAAAAAAAAAUAAAAAUAAUAACCAGAAUCAACUGGAGUUAAUCUGUCAAACUCAGAUAAGGAGACCAAGAUAAUUGAAGACCAAGAUAACUUUUCAGUUAUCAAUUUUUCAUUGUAAUUAUUAUUUAUUUAUCAACAAUAUUCUAAUUUAGAUAUUAUAGGAUGAAGCGUGUCUAUUCUGCUAAACCGUAUUUGUUCUCAACACCAUAAUCAUCUAAGCUAGAUGUCAAAGUUACAAACUAUUAUGGCUUUAUCUACAACAUAAAUUGAAUAUAUGACACCUACACAAGUUUGCAAGAAAGUAGUUUGGAUUAAAAGGCAAUGGAAGAACUCGAACAUAAAUAAAUAAAAAAGAUUUUGGAUUAAAAGGCUAAUGAAGAACUCGAGCACAUAUACAUAAAAGAGAUUUUUGUGAAUUUUGAUAAUUAGAGUGCCUUGUAUAUUGCAAGUACUCUUUCCUUACAUUCAAAGACAAAUCACAUAUAGGAGUGCAAUAUAAUUUUUUCCGAGAAGUAGUGGAAGAGAAUAGUGUGGAUCGAUAUGCAAAGAUUCACACGACAAUUUAGCGUAAGCGGCAUGUAGCUGGAAAUAAUUGAAAAGAAAAAAGAUGUGAAAAGUGAGUUUAAGUGGGAGAAUGUUAGCUAUAAACUCACAUUUCGUACUUGGAAAGUCAAUUACUUGGAGAAGAGAAACAUGGAAAACAACCUUCUUCUGUCUUUUGCAAAGUAUGUGGUUGGAAAAUCUGAACAUGAAAGUGUCAAAGAUGGCUGCAUGCACAAUUGCAAACGCUGAAAGUGGAGGAGUAGCCAUGUCAAAAAUGGAUGCUGAGAAGGUAGCAAAGUUAGUGUGUUUAGCUGGGUUUUUUUUGGCUUAAUAAGCGAGGAAGCUCCCUAGAGACCUUUUGUUUCUUUUAAUUAACAAUAAAAGAGAGUUAGUGUUGUUUUAUCCAUUAAAAAUCCUUCGAUUCUUGUUUAUUGUCUUUCCCUUAAAUUUGUUGGGAGUUUUGUUUUUCAACUUAAAUCUUUGUCUCAACACUUUACUUUAAUUAUGUGAUACUGUUUCAACCCAACUUAAACCAUUAAAAUCCUAACAAGCUCUACAAUAAAUAAAUAAAAAACAAGGAAUUCCUUCUUGCUGAUUUUAACAUGGCAUAUGAAUCCAUCUUUUAAGUCCCAAUCCCUUGAAAAACAGAUAUUGAAAGAAAAAAGCCGUGAUAUAAUUUAGACAUUUAAGGUCCUGGAUUUUGCAUUCAAAGAACAUUUCGUGAACCUAAAUUUGUUAUUUCGUUAAUAAGUUCACCUGAAAUACUUAAAAAUGCAAAAAAAAUCAAAUAAAAAACACCACAAACACCCUUUAAAGUUUAAACACUAGUAAAAGAAAGGUCUGUUUUGGCUAAUUUGCUAAAAUAAGGGAGAUACCAUCUCAUAAAGCAAGCCUAGAGCACGUCUAAUUAGAACAUUGCUCAUAGGCUGACAAUGGCUCAAGAACAAUAGAUAUUCACUCCCAAAUCAUGUGCCAUGAGCACCACAAUACAAUACAAUUGAUUAAAUGCCAAGCAAACGUAGUGUUUCCUCAUAGAAGGACACAACAGCAUUCACAUUCUACAUACAUACAUGCAUAUGCCUAAAUGGAUAUCUAUAUAACUCAACAAGGCAAUGUUUAUGCAAUAGCAGAACACCAAAGGCGCAUGACUUAUUGAAUCUCCAACGUUAAGUUCGAGGGCAACAAAGAAAGAAGCUGGAUUUAGAAGGUGGAACCAUUCCAUCCAAAGUGGGUACCCUGCAAAAGAAAGCAAACAUCAGUAUCAUUGAUAGUGGCUGCAAAAUGACUUUUUAUGAGGACAUAAUCUGAGAAAUAUGUGGAGGUUGACUCCUAAGGCAAAUUUAAUUUAAUAACUAUGAUUGCAUUCAGAAAGAAAAAAAAAAGAUUGUUUUUUUUACAGGAAUUAAUGCUGAUAAGAAGCAAGCGAAAAUCAGGCAUUUUCUUGGCUAUGACCGGCCGGCCAAACAACAGAAAGAAUGCAAUGCGAAGAAAAAUGUGCACCGCAAUAAUCGAUGUUCUUGGUGACAAUUAAAAGUUGAGAUGGCUUGC
RNAcentral lists this long non-coding RNA (75801 nucleotides) under Populus trichocarpa (black cottonwood). RNAcentral's name for it is "long non-coding RNA (PTRI_LNC001718)". The stretch from base 43913 to 44028 matches the Rfam family "MIR390 microRNA precursor family". Lineage: Eukaryota; Viridiplantae; Streptophyta; Magnoliopsida; Malpighiales; Salicaceae. The record is from RNAcentral.